Molecule: long non-coding RNA, 49473 nt
Filed under: Capsicum annuum
Lineage: Eukaryota; Viridiplantae; Streptophyta; Magnoliopsida; Solanales; Solanaceae
Description: long non-coding RNA (CANN_LNC003889)
Source: RNAcentral
AGUAAGGGAAAAAGAAAAACUGAACCUGAACCAAGUAUAGUAAUUAUACUAGAUAUACCAGUUGAAAAUGAAAAAGAUCAAAAUGUACAAUUGAUGGAAUUAAUUGACGAAAUGCGUAGGGAAAUUGCAGAAAUAAAGCAAAUUCAAAAAGAAAAAGAAAAAAUAAAUAUGAUAGAAAAAGAAGAACAAAAACUAGAUCCAGACAAUUAUUAUUUACUAUAAUUGUUCUUCUAAAACUUUCAUUUUUUGUGUUUCUAAAUAUGUACUAUAUUGUGGUGUAUCUAAUAUAGUUUCUGGUCUCCUAUAUGGUUCUUGUACUUCUUUCCUAGUAUUAUUAUAUACUAGUCCUAAAUUAUUAUUUAUAAAAUAAGUAUUUUCUAAGAUUUUGCUCAUAGCUUCUUGUUGAGAUAAUCUUUCUUGUUCUUUUUUUUUUAUGUAAAUAAAUUCGUCAAAAGGCAUAGUUCUUCCUCUUAUCAUAUUAAUUGUAUAACUUGUUCCUGGUAUAAUUGGUCCUUGUUGUUGUUUUUUAAGAUUUUUUAUUUCUAAUGGUAAUUCUCUAAUUAUUUUUAAUACUUCGUUGCUCUUCUGAUCCUGUUCUUGUUUUAGUUUUCAUAUUUUGUAGUUUAGGGACUGAUCUAAUUCUUGUAUGUAUUUUUUCCGAUCUUCAAGUUUUUCAUCAAUAAUUCGUUUAGCUUCAUUACUUAAUAUUUCUUUAUCUUUCCCUGAAAUGUAAUCUUUUUGUAAUAUUUCCUUAUCUUUAUUUGUUAAUCUACCAAAUUUAUUCCAUAAUAAUUUAUUUGUCCAAUUUAAUUGUCUAUGUUCAGCAAAUCCUGCAUCUUCAGAUACUACAUAAGGUAUAAAUGCUGCAUGUGUAUAUGGUGGAUAUUUAAGAUAUGAAUCUAUAGGUAAUCUAUUUUCAUUUACUUUAUAUGUAUGUUGUUCAAGAUCUAAAUUCUCAAAAUCUUUGCUUUCCAUUAUAACUUUUUCUUUACUAGCUCUGAUACCAAUAUGGGGGUUAUAAAUGCAGAAACAAAGGAUCAAAACAAAAUAAACUAAAACCAGCUAAAAACUAAAACUUAAACAAAUAAAAUUAAACUAUCUUAUAAUCUAAGUGCGCAAAAAAGAAAGGCUUUUAUCAAUAAUUUGAAUUAUUUUCUUUCUUAUACUACUCUAAGAUUUCUCUAAUUUAUCUAUGAGUUUAUAGACAAAAUAUCCGGACCUCAUUCAAAUAAUCUGAACCUUAAUUUUCCCGACAAAUGCUAUCUCUCCUGGAAUUUACGCCAACAUGGGUACUUUCCUUGGUUCAUAAGAUUUAUAUAGAGAUUUAGUGGAUAUUGAUAGUUUAGAACUCAUCUUGAUUAAUUCUAGUAUAACCUUAUUUCGUAUAAGAAAGAAAAUAAAGUAAACUACUCAGCCAUAUAUAAUAUAAACAUCAUAAUUUUAUUCAUAAAAACAUAUAGUCAUACAAAAGAAAACUUACAAUACCGCAGAAACUUAAAAUUUUUUAGCUAUUCUAGAGGCUUUGCUCUAAUUUCCAGUGAUCUCUAGUGAUCCCCAAUGAUGCCUCUUACAGGAAAAUCUAUUCUAUAUAUAGAAAGAAAAAUAAACUAAAAACUAUAGAGGUUUGGAGUCCGUGACUGUUGGCCAUACAGCUGUCCUCCAUUAUUUUCUUCAUACCUUAUCUUUUACUUUUCUUUGCCGACACUUGCUUUAUUCGGUUGUCUUCUUUUGGUCCACUUCUUUCAUCUUUAUGUCUUUGUCGCUUAUUUCGUCAUUGCUUACGACUUCUUCCAUUAUGUCGUCAUUGCUAAUGUUUGGUUCUUCUGGUAGAAUUGGUUUUGAGAAUUCUACUUCCUUUCCUUUGCUGCAUAUACUGCAACUAUGUUUGAGGUUGAUGUUCCUUCUGGCUAUUUUACAUAAUAUAACUAAUGUUGCCUGUGUGAUACAAGGGUUUUGGAUUGUGCAUUUUGGAGUAUUGAUUUCUGGACUGAUCAAUUUCUUUUGCCAUUCUUUCGAUAUUUUCAUAAUUUGUGUAUUUUUUGAAUUGCUGGGACUGUAAAUAAUUCUAUUGUUAUUGUUCGUAUAUAUCCAUAUUCUUCCUUCCAUAACUCUUAAUUCUGAUGCUAUGUUUAGCAUCUGUAUUGCUUUCUUCUGUUGUAUCAUUGAUCUGAUAUCUUCUAUAUUUUUCUGAAAAUAUACAUCUUCAUAGCUAAUUUUUUGAUAUGUAAUACCAAAUUUAAUUGCUUCAAUUUUUGGUAUUAUAUUUCCCUUUGCAUGUGGUUCUGCAAAUGUGAAAUAUAUUCUCAUAUAUGUAAGUGCUGCUUUACUAAUUUGUCUGAAUCUUGUAUAUGCUGUUUGUAACUCUUCAUCAAAGAUUUUCAUCUGUGUUGGAUCUUCUAUAUAGUAUACAUGUAAUAAUCCAUAUUCAUAUGUUGAUUUUACUAAAUCUUGAUUUGUAUGUUUGUCAGCAACUAAUUUAUUAUAAUCAGUUACUGAAUAUAACUCAUCAAUCUCCAUAUGUUUAUUAUUCAAGUAGUUCAUAGUGAUGAUUAAAUACUCAAUGUAUUUUCCACAUAUAUCUUCUUUUUCAAGUAUUUCUAUUUUCUUUUUUCCCUCUUUAACAACCUUUUUCCAUGGUUGUUCUUGUUUUGUUGCAAUUUUGUCUUCUUUUUUCUCAUCUUUUCCAUAUUUCAUGAUUUUUGCUCUUGCUGCAAGAUGUAUCUCAUCUUGUCUUUGUUUUUCUAUUUGUUCUUUUUCUAUUUUUUCUUUCUCAAGUAUUUCAACUUUAUCUGUCAAUUGAUCUACUUUCGUACUUAAUUUUUUCAUUUCUUCAAGUAGUUAUUGCAUGAUGUACUCCAUACCUGCUCAAAUAAUCUGCAACAAUGUUAAUUUUUCCAUCAAUAAUUUCAAUAUCGAAAUCAUAAAUAGCUAUUUUUGCCAAUAUAUUUCUUAUAUUUCUCUUUCAAUUGAUUUUUUAUCUUUGCUAUUUUUAUCCAAUAAUAUACCUGUGAAUUAUCUGUUCUUACUAAUCUUUUACCUUCGGUGGUAAAUAUACUAUAAUGUUGUAAUCCUCUAUAAACUGCAAUUAAUUCCUUUCUAUUAAUAUCAUAUUAUAAUUCAUUCUUUUUGAAAGUUCCUGAAUUAUAUCGACAUAAAUAUUCGAUUUUUGAAUUUUUUGAUUUGUAUUUUAGGCAAUUUUCAUAAUUUUCUUUGCUUGCAUCUACUUUUAUUAUCCAAUUCAUAUCUUCUAUUGUUAUUGGAUAUUUCAUUUCUAUAAUUUUGUUUUUACAAUAAUUUUUUAUUAUUCUAAAAUUUUCCUCGUCUUGUUUUGUCCAUAUUCAUAUUUCUUCAUCUCUUAUUUUUAAUUUUUUCCGUAUGGAUUGUAGUAAUUGUGCUAGUUGUGGUAUAAAUCUUCUUAUUUGAUUUAGUAAUCCUAAUAUUGAUUGUAACUCCUUUUUACUUUUAAUUUUUUCAUGUUUUUUCAAUAUUUUAUCUAUUAUAUGUUCUAAGUAUUUUUACUCCUCCUUGGUCAAUUUUUACUCCAAGAAAUUCUAUUUUUUCUUUUCCUAAUUCUACUUUUUUUUUACUAAGUCUUUUGCCAUUUUGUAUUAUUAGUUUCUUAAAUUGUUCCAAAUGUUCUAUAUGUUCUUCAAUGGUUUUAUGCAUAAAAUAUUAAUUAUAAUCUACUUCUUAAAUACUUUUUCAACUAGUUUUAGUAAGUCAAUAAUUUAAAAGUAGAUGUAAAUAUAUAAUUAGAUUUGAGCCUUUAAGUUAUAAUAUCUGUCCAUUAAUUGCUAAUUAAAUAAUCCAACAUCCAAUAUAAGUUCAUAAAACCUGAACUUUUCACUCUUCAUCUCACUUUUAGUUUCAAAAGAGUUUUCCGCUCCUCAUUUUUUCAUUAGCACAUGAGUGAAAACAUAUUUGAUCUAAUCUUUGAUCACAAUAAAAUUGCAAAAACUAAAGAUUAUAAAAAAAACUGAAAAAAUCAAAAAACCCAAAAAAAAAUGACUAAAACCUAAACCGAAAAAACCAAUUUUAUAUUGGUUUGAUUUGAUUUAUAGUUUUAAUAAACCGACAUUAUUGGUUUAGUUUUUUUUUAAUAAAAAUCGAACCAACCCGACCCAUGUACACCCCUAAAGACAAGGAUGAGUGAAAUCAUACUUGUGAAAUUCUGUUCUCGACAAGAUGGUAGAGCCACUUGGAGAUCCAUCCAUGGUUCCACAAAAUUGAUCCAAAAAAAAAAGAAAAAAUCCACAAAAUUGAUAAAAAAUGUGAGGUUAACGGUAACACCAGCAGAACAACCAACACAUUAAUGAUAAUACCAGCCACCAAUAUGCUCCGAAAUGCCAGCAACUAGGCAACGAAAAACUUAUUAGUCACUAGAGUAAGGAAAAUACCAGACACUUUCGCAACUGGAAAGAGAAACAACAUUCACAAAACGUCCAUAUAGAGAUGAUCGGAAAAAAAUGUUCGAUUAACCGUCAAAAAGGAUCGCUGAUUGCGCGAGACAGCUUGAAACUCCAUCAUAAAUCUACAAAACAAGCUUGAAAUUCCACUGCAAUCUCCAAAACGAGCUUGAAAUUCCACCACAAAUCUCCAAACCAAAAAAAAACCCAAAGUUUGAAAAUCUCCGCCAAAUCAAAAACUGCUAACGUCGAGUUGUGUAGAAAACUCAGAUCUAUCGAGAACCUGACUCUAAUACCAUAUUAAUGCUCACAAAUCAAAAUGAAAGCUUGAAAUCAGUGAAGCAUCGUAAAUAUUUUAGAGAGAGAAAGUAGAGAGAAGAAGGAGCACAUUUCUAAAUAACUGAGUAUGGAAAAUGAACUCUCUAGAACACCCAAAUAUCUCUCCAACUUGCUUGGUGGGGUGGGGGGUUAGAGAUUAGUUAGUAGUUAUCAGAUUUGGGCCACUUAACAUUUAUUUAUAGGCUAGAUAUUGGGCUUUUCAAUAUGUAUGUAAUAUAUAGUAGUAUAAAUAACAUAAAUAUCAAUCUUUUAAAAGUAAUUACACUCUCUCACUUUCUUAAUUAUUUUACUCUCUCUCCCUACUAAUAUACAUAACAUAGCUGAUAUAUAUAUAGCAUUUUAUGUAUAUGUUGAAAUUUUUGUAAUAUAUUUAGGGAGUUGAGAUUUUUUAUAAUAUUGAAAACAUAAGUUGUGUAUUUGUGUAAUUUUUAGUAUAUAGUACUCAGAUACUUGGGUGUUCUAGAGAGUUCAUUUUCCAUACUCAGAUAAUAAGAAAUGUGCUCCUUCUUCUCUCUACUUUAUUCAUGUUGCUUCACUGAUUUCAUCCUUUCAUUCUGUUUUUGUGAGUAUUAACAGUUUACCCACAUAGUUAACCUCUCAUACCGGCCUCCUUAUCCGAAUAUUUGUGCAUCUCCCAUUCACAAGUUUAAAUCAUUCCAUCUCGCCUUCCUCAUCUUCUCCACCAUAAAGGGCAUUCCCACCUUAUCCUGGAUAUAACCGUUCUUUAUCUCAUCUCUCCUACUACACAAACACGUCUAUCUUCUCCUCAUUAUAAGGCAUCUGUGCAUCGCUCCCUUCACACAUCUGAAUUAUUUGCCUUGCCUCCCCGAAUAUCUUAUCUACCGCGAAGGAAACUUCGAACUUAAUAUAAACAUCUCCAUUUUCUAAUUACAUUUCUUUUGUUAUGCCUACACAUCUAUCUCCGUCGCAUAUGAAAAUUUUUGUUUAUAAAUAACAUACAAGAUAGGAGUAAUGUAAAUCCCCAACACUCAGGUACUAUAACUUGGAUUAAUAUCCCCAACAUUGGUGGUAGCAAGUCCUUUAAAAGAAUUUAGCUUCUUUACUGGGGUAGUCAAAAUUCAUUUAAAUAACUAGAUUAUUUAUAAAGUAAUUAGAAGUAAACUCCUAUGCUAAUAUAAUUUAAUGGUAUAUAAUUUUAAACUAAAUUAAUAAACCUCUAAAGUCAAGUGUGUGAUGAAUUUUUGAAAACUUUGUUUUAAUAAGUUGAAACAGUAAAAAAAUAAUUUUAGCAAAGAGAUUUGAAAUAAAAUAUGCGAAUAGAAUAGUUUCUCUUCAAAAUAGAAUUUUUUGCAUUUUGUUCUAAAAAUACAUUGGACUAUAAUAGGCCACCAUGAGGAGCCCAACUAUUUUAGUCCAAUUCGACAAUUCAGACUUGACCAUAAUACAAUCAACAUAAAGCUCUCACAAUUUCUAUCAAAUUGGAGAUUAAUGUACGUACCUUAACCACUACUUGGUGUCUAAUUAAAGACUCCUGCAUAUUAUUUUUCACCAACAAAAGACAUUACAUAUAAAAUAACUAAGAAUCCUAAUUGCUACAUUAUUUUUAUAAAGACAAAACUUGACCUUUUUCACUUUAAUCAGAAGUUUGAAAGCAUGUGGUUUCCUCCUUAAGAACUUCUUCUUGUUGAUGUUCAACAACAUUUCCUCCAGAUUGCCAGAUGUUGAAAUUUAUUUGACCUAGCAUAUGCCUGUACGCUUCACAUGUUAAUCCCCAAUGCCAGGCAUGUUGACAUCGCACACAAAAAAUUCUCCAGCAAUUGGGACAUGCCCUGAUCAAAUAUCUCUUUUUGUCAUCAAUCAAUUUUCCCGUACAAUCUAUAUAAGGGCAAUCCAUAGCAUAUGACAAAGCCAGAACUUUAGCUUCUCGAUUAGCAUCUUCUACACGAUGAUAAACAUCAUAAGGCAACAAUAAUUCAAAACUCAUGGUUCUUUUGCAGUUCGCAAUAGGACACUUAACUUCUUCAAUAUUUUCGUUGAUUUGUUUAGCAAUAUACUUGUGUAUACAUUCUUCGCAGUAUAAAUGUGGACAACUAAUGCCCUGAAUUAGUGUGUUUGGCGGAAAUGCAUCUUCACAGAUGUCGCAGUACAAACAUGAAGAUUCUCCCUUUUCCCAAAUACCGUUUACUUUUUCAAUUGAUUUAUAAAUAAAAGAAUAAUGUGGUUCAACAGCUUUCUUACCGGUAGCAUGAUUAGAACUUGAUUCCAAGUUCUUACCUGAGUGUAAUUGCGCAGAAUAAAAUAGGAUCUGUUGCAAUUGGAUAUCUUCAUCCUCUUCCAUGAUGUCUUCCUCAUUUUCGUUGACAUAAGACCUCAUCCGAACAUUAUCAGUUUCUUCAUUGCGAUUGGAAGCUUGAAUAUUCCUUAAUCCCAUUUUAAUUUCAUUAACGCCUAUAUAUUAACUAGUUUUACGUCUUCCUUGACGUAUGUGGAAAUUCUUCACCCUUCUAAAUAAUAAAUCGUUAUCACUCAUUCAUUUUUGAUACAAGAAUCAGGACAUGAACAAUGUUUUAUUCAAUCAGCGGCAGAGGUAGAAUGGAGGACUCUGCCGCGGAUAUUCAGACGAUUGUUAUAUUUCUUUCUUCUCAGUAUGUAUCUAGGUCAUAUCUGCAUUGACAUAUAUAUAGUAUUUUUUUUUAAAAAAAAAUAUGUGUCUUAUUGAGUUUAUACUACAUUUAAGAUUUAAAUUUUUUUCUUUUUUAGGAUUUUGACUGGAUAACAAAAUAAAUUUGCAUUAAAUUUGGACUAUGCCACGUGUCGAAAGUGAUAUAACGUGUCUAGUUAAAUUAAAAGGCAAUGGACAUGUUCCACGUGCACAACUGACAUGUUUCGAUCAAUAAAAUAUUGCCAACUCAACUUCAAUUUGAAUGGCCGAAAAAAGUUUGUCUACAUCUGUCACAACGCGAUUUCUCAAGUCGUGAUAGCUCCUACUUUAAUCCCCCAGUAGGCAAGCCAAGCCAUAGUCCGGAAUGAUAGUUAACUGGCUAACAGAUCACAGAGACCAAAAAAAAGAUCACGUAUAAUGAUAACAAUAACAAUAAUAAGUGAAAACUAAGAAGAGAGCACAUAUGAUAUAUCAAAACGAGAGGAGGAAAAAGGACCAAAUAUAUAAACGAAUCCCUCCCAAGACCUGAUAAGUUCAGUACUAGAGUCACUACUAACAGGUACCCAGAGUACUAGACAAAAAUCUAAAAUAUACACAACAUACACAAGCAGUCUCGAGUGCAGAAGACUAAGUAGAAUAGAUAGAGGAGGAUCAGCCUCAUACGACAACAAGCUCACCCUACUCUGAAUCAGUACUGGAAGGUAGGAAUCACCUCAACAUUAACUGCUAGUACCCGGAUCUGCAUUUGAAAAAGAUGUAGAAGUGUAGUAUGAGUACCAAAGCAACGGGUACUCAGUAGGCAUCAUCGGCCGACUAAGCUCAAAAUAGAAAAGGUAUAACUACAAUGCGAGGAUGUAAUCCAAGUAAACAGUAAAAAGGGACAGAAAGGGUAAACAACUGCCAAGCUACGCCAAUGAGAUAGAGGAAUAAAUGUAAGCGAUACAGAAAAUAAAUAACACAGUGAUUACAGACAAAGCAAACAUAACCUAACUGGGCCCCCAUAAGCCCGUUAGGCACACUGAAGAAGACAAUUAAUCCAACCAUACCUCCAUAAGCCGGUGACAUACAAGAAGUAAUGAGAAAUAAACAUAAAUAAUCUGUAACUAAACUGAUCCCAAGGAACCGUGGCAGUCAUCAAGAUAUGCACCGGACUUGAACCGACACCAAUGGGUAGUAACAAGAGGCCAGACACCGGACUCAAACCGGUAGUGAUAAACAAUAACAAGAGGACACGGGCCGAAUUCAAACCGGACAUAGUGAGUAAUAACGAGAGGCCACAUAUAUAAUAUACAACAAAUCUCGUAAUCAAAUAUAGGACUCAAACCGUAUCUCAGUGGAACCAUAACCAUAAUCAGUACUAGAGCCACUACUAAUAAGUACCCAGAGUACUAGACAAAAAUCUAAAAUGUACACAAUAUACACAAGCAAUCUCGAGUGCAAAAGACUAACUAGAGUAGAUAGAGGAGGAUUAGCCUCGGACGACAGCAAGCUCACCCUACUCUGAAUCAGUACUGGAAGGUAGGAAUCACGUCAACGUUGACUGCUAGUACCAGGAUCUGCAUCAGAAAAAGAUGCAAAAGUGUAGUAUGAGUACCAAAGCAACGGGUACUUAGUAGGCAUCAUCGGCCGACUAAGCUCAAAAUAGAAAAGGUAUAACUACAAUGCGAGGAUGUAAUCCAAGUAAACAGUAAAAGGGGACAGAAAGGGUAAACAACUGCCAAGAUACGCCAAUGAGAUAGAGGAAUAAAUGUAAGCGAUACAGAAAAUAAAUAACACAGUGAUUACAGACAAAGCAAACAUAACCUAACUGGGCCCCCAUAAGCCCGUUAGGCACACUGAAGAAGACAAUUAACCCAAUCGUACCCCCAUAAGCCGGUGACACACAAGAAGUAAUGAGAAAUAAACAUAAACAAUCUGUAACUAAACCGAUCCCAAGGAACCGUGGCAGUCAUCAAGAUAUGCACCGGACUUGAACCGACACCAAUGGGUAGUAACAAGAGGCCAGACAUCGGACUCGACCCGAUAGUGAUAAACAAUAGCAAGAGGACACAUGCCGGAUUUGAACCAGACAUAGUGGGUAAUAACGACAGGCCACAUAUAUAAUAUACAACAAAUCUCGUAACCAAUUGUCGGAAUCGAACCGGAUCCCAGUGGAACUACAAUCAUAAUUAGAUUCCGGACUCGAACCAAAACUCAUAGUAAAAAUAAUAAUCAAAAUGCCAGACUCGAACCGAAACUCAGAGUAAUCAUACCCAACGGUAAUAUUAAAAUUCAUAUCAUACCAUAACAAUGUCAACGUGGUGCAAAUGUUCACAAUCAAUGACAUAAAUAAAAGGAUAAAUUACAGUAACUAACAACCUUAAGAUCUUAAUUACAAUUAAUAACAACACUUUCUCAAAAUUACAACUUAUGUCAAAACUAGCAAUAGUUUGACUUUUCUAGAGUUAAGCACGUGAAUUCCAUCAAUUGCUUUUCCUUUACCUAUUUUCAAGUAAUUUACCCUAUUUUCAAGCAAUUUACCUACUUCUGGAUUCUACCAAUUACUUUUCCUUUACCUAUUUUCAAGCAAUUUAUCCUGUUUUAAAGUAAUUUACCUAUUUCAGUUUCGUCCUUUCUAACGUAUUUUUUUUUAAAUCGCUAUUUACUCUCUAAUUUCGGAUAAACUUUUCCCCAAUAAUUAAGGGAAGAUGAUUUUACAGUUAAUGCAUGUUAUUAUUUUUUUUUUCAUAUAACUUCUUUUUUGUAAAAUAAUUUUGGCAUUUUUCAAUCUUCUUCUGCGAUUUUUUUUCUUUUGCGGUUUGAAAUUUUUGGAGUUACGCGAUAAUGUCAGUACAUACAAAUCAUAGUAGUUCAGUUAGUGGAAUUCCAUCGAUGAAUUUUAGGUCCGAUGAACUAUCAUCGUUUAGUCUUGGUUUAACACAAGAUGAAGAAAUUAACUUGAUUUCUUCUAAUUUUCAGUCUAAGAGAGGUGUUAGCAAAGUAGAGGUAAGAUCGAAUCAGUGUAACGAUCCAAAAAAGAUUGUGGAAAUCAUGAAACGGAAAGCAUUGAGAAAAUCUUCAUCCCCAAAAUCAACAAAAAUUUAAAAAUCGGUGAAAAAGAGAAAGUCGGAUGAAAAAGGAGAAUCUAGUCAGAUGUCAAGUCCUGUUUUUUAUCUGAUUAUGAAUCUGAAGAAGAGAAAGUGGAAGAGGUAUUUUUCUAUUUGUAAAAUUUUAUAAUUUCUGGAUAACAUGUUCAUAUAUGUAUUUUAUAUAUACAAUUUAUAAGGUGUAUAAGUAGUUUUGAGUUUUGUUAAGAUAUGAAAUUGCAGUUGCUAAUGGGAUGAUAUGUAUCUGUUAUAUAUUUAAGAUAUGUAUUUUGUAUUUAGGUUUGUUACUGAUAAGAUUUGUAUUUGUUAUGUAUAACAUAUUUAAUAUAUGUAUCUUGUAUUUAAGAUAUGUGUAGGAUAUUUGUAUUAGUUACUGAAAAGAUUUGUAUUUGAUGUUCAGUUGUAUUCUUUUCUUGGUAACUUAAAUUUUGGACCAUUCAUAUAUUCAUAAAAUUUUAUGCAUUUGUAUUUUAAUUUUUUUGGACUGUAUGGUCAUAUAUGUAUUUUAUAUAUACAUUUGAUAAACUAUCUACUUAUGUGAGAGUUAUUGUUAAGAUAUGGAAUUGUAGUGUGGAGAUAUGUAUUUUUUAUGUUGUAAUUAUUUGCAAUGCAUUUGCUACAGGUUAGAUAUGUAUUUUGUAUUUGUUUGUACGAAGUUUUUAUAUAUGGUGACAUAUGCUGAGUGCCUUACUUUUGAUGACUGUGUUCCAAAUAUUGACUUUGAUCCAGAUCUUCUUCGCACGAGAUAUAUUUUAAUGUUGUGAAAUUAUAUUAUGCUUCGAGGAAAGAAGAUGAGAAAGUUGAAAGUGAUGAUAAAGCACCAAUGAGGCCUCGUAGGGAUAUUGGGCUAACAGAAGAUACUGAAGUGCAUGAUAUUUGAAGUUUAUUUGUAUUUAUUGUAUUUGGCAACAUUGAACUUUAGGAGGACUAAGAUAUAGUUGAAAGAUGAUAUUUUAAUAUUUUCUUAUGUGAUUGUUAGAUUUUUUUAUCGUUAUGCUUCUAAAAUAGAAUUGUUCGAUCUUACUUUAUGUUAUUGUUACGCAUAUUUUGGUAUGAAUAUGUGAUUUUCAGUUUUAAGUAUAAUUUUCAGUAAUGAAUAUAUAUGUUUCAGUCAUCAUAUAUAUUUUUCAAUGGUGUAUUUGUAUUUUUCAUUUUAUGCAUAUGUAUUUUUUUAUAAUACAUAUAAGGUAAGUUGAGGUUGCAUAUAAUAUUUUUCAUUGUAUGAAUAUGUAUUUUUUUGUAAUGCAUAUGUAUUUUGAGUAAUGCAUAUAUUUUUUUUCCAGUUAUACACAUGUACUUUCGAAUAAUACAAAGUUAUUGUAUUGUUUUGCAUAAGUCUAUGUAUAUUUAUGAAGCAUAUGUAUUUAUGAUUUAUACAUACAUAGUUAUUCAUAUAUAUCUAUGAAUAAUACAUAUUUAUUUAUGAUUAUUGCAUAUGUUUUCCUUAAAAAAAAAUGGAUUUCAAGUUCUGAUUAAGUAAUUGAUAAGUCAUUAAAUGUAUUUUUAAUUAUUUUUAUUUAUUACAUAAAUAUAUGUUAACUUAUUUUUAGUUUUUAUAGAUCGGUAUACGUUUUUAUUAGAAUCUCAUAUGUAUUUUUCAUACCAAAAAAUUGACUUGUAUGGUGUAUACUCUUUUAUGUAUAAAUAAAUAAUGGUAUAUGUCUUAUAAAAUAUAUUCAUGAUGAUAACAUUUGCAACAAUUUAACUACAAAAAAGUCAACAUCAUCAAAAGUUUGUAUCAAAAUUUAGAAUCAUAAAAUAAUCAAUGAAAAAAACAAUUGCUUUUGAACUGAAUACAUCUAUAAACUUAUCAUUUAUUAUAUUUCCCACAUGAACACCAAUUGUGACCUUUAAAUCCACAUGAACUGCAAUAAUUUUUGUUUUUCUUCUAGAACAUAUCUCUUUCCGACUUUUCACGAUCCUUCUUUGCAGGUCUUCCAGGGGGUCGCUUGUAUUUUGGGGGCAAAACUAUCUCCUUCAAUAUAUCCUGUGGAAUCACUCAAUCAUCUUUGCGUGGUAUAGGAUAAAUGGGAAGAUCAUAUGUUCUUGACACAGUUUUUGAUUUGUAUAGGUCAGAGUAAUAUGAUCCCUUUUGAAAAUUCUUGUUAUCAAAUACUUCAUAAGCAUGCACAUACGGUAUCUCGUCCUAUUGGAAUGCAUGGCAAGAUUUUUUUUUUCUUAAGGCAAACAAUAAAAUGUUUAUCCUUGUCGUGUACUGUAUAGACAUACUCUGAGGCUGGUAUAACCUGCAUAUGUAAUUGUUCCAAUUUCGCAAUUAUUCAUUUGACAUUUUUAAUUGUUCCAGUUUAGCAAUUGUAUUUUACCAACUCUGCAUAUGUAUCCUGUGGAAUCACUCAAUCAUCUUUGCGUGGUAUAGGAUAAAUGGGAAGAUCAUAUGUUCUUGACACAGUUUUUGAUUUGUAUAGGUCAGAGUAAUAUGAUCCCUUUUGAAAAUUCUUGUUAUCAAAUACUUCAUAAGCAUGCACAUACGGUAUCUCGUCCUAUUGGAAUGCAUGGCAAGAUUUUUUUUUUCUUAAGGCAAACAAUAAAAUGUUUAUCCUUGUCGUGUACUGUAUAGACAUACUCUGAGGCUGGUAUAACCUGCAUAUGUAAUUGUUCCAAUUUCGCAAUUAUUCAUUUGACAUUUUUAAUUGUUCCAGUUUAGCAAUUGUAUUUUACCAACUCUGCAUAUGUAUAUUGCAUGUCUCAAUAUGUAUUUUUAGAAAUAUAUGGCCUUCAUAUUUUUUUAGAAAAAAUGCAGUCAAACACUUAAAACAGAGUUCAAAUGUAUUUUUUAAAUUCAUAUAGCUGGCAGCAUAUGUAAAUUGAAAUACAUAAAAGUAACUACCAGUGAUCACAUAAACAGACCGCAUAUGUAUUUUACAAAUACAUAUAGCUGGCAAUAUAUGUAAUGUAAUUAAAUGCAUAUAUAACAAGGACUUACGGUUCCAUCCAUGGUAUAAGCAGUUACAAAAGUACCAGUAUACAGUUUUCUGAGAUGACUUGCAUCAACGAUUAUUACAGGUAUACAAUGUUCAAACCCUUUGACACAAUAACUUAUUAGUAUAUACAAAACUUUGAAACAAAAUCCAACAAGAACAAAUUGUUUAAUUGAAAUGGAAAAAAAUACAAAAUAAACUAUAACAAUUGUAUAUCAAUAUUCAACCUACAUAACGUGAUGGAAAACUCUAAUUUGUAAAAAGAAAUUAUUGAUCAAACCACUUUGUUCGAGAACUAAUCAAAUCAUUGUUGUUAAGAUUUUUUCAGCGAUUUUCACAAAUAUAGUUCAAAAAAUUCACAAACAAAAUCAGAUUUGUUUAUUGAUACCUGUAUUUGCAGCGUUGUCUUAUCAAACUCUUUGUCUUGUUCCAGAUUUGUUGGUAUGGCUUUGAUUACUAUUCCUUGUCUUGAGCCGGGGGUCUAUCGAAAACAGUCUUGCUACUUCUCCGGGAGUAGUGGUAUGGACUGCGUACAUCUUACCCUCCCCAGACCUCUGUCAUGACCCGAACCGGGGCCCUGGCCGUGACGAGCAUUCCCGAACCCGAAGGCCCGGAACGCCCUCUGUCUAUCUGGUAAUCAUGCACAUAAUUCAUAUGAUCAAAGUAAUACGGAAUAGACACAAUAAUAAGGAAACAUGAUCAACAAUUUAAAAUAGUUAAAAGCCUGAAAACAUGCCCAACAAUAUUUAAUAAACAUCUGCAACAGUCUGCAAAAUCUCUACUGAAAUACUAUCUGAAUAACUGGGAUAAGGCCCUCAGUAGACCAAAAGCCAUACUGAAAUAAAUACCUAAAUGACUAGGCCUUCCAAAGCAAAGAAGGCUCACCAACUGAACUCUGAGAUAACCCUGUCUGUAGACUCUACUGAGGAUCUGGACCCCUAGACUGCGCCUCAGUACCUGGGAGGAAGGGGGUCAGAACAAUUGUACUGUCACGUGAAGCAAUCCAAAAUAGAGUAAUUGAACAUAUAUAUAUAUAUAAUACGUGAGAGAAAAUGUUCAUCAAACAUUAUGCAUAAAACAGUUUCUGGAAAAAACACAUGGGCACCUUCUGAAAACAUGUAACCUGUCUGUAAAUCUCAAACUCUAAUUUGUGUAUUACUUCUGAGUUAGGUGGUAUCCCCUACAAGUUUGAUAUUCCACGGGCGAUAUGGAAUCCGUCAUUGACUCGGCGGGAAAGCCUCCAACCCGAGUAUGCCGCAAGAGUUGGAAUUCCUGAAUCUGAUACACCACACGAUACUUAAGUCAGCGUAUAAUAAUAUACCCGGGUCCGCAAACCAUGGUUUUGGACAAUGAGUUGCUUGAACUCAAGCCCUCUUCAGGGAACCACCUAACAUCUCUGUAUGCCCAUUUUUAACCUUUUCUGUACAUGCAACAUUCUGAAUGUCUAAAAUUAUGAUAGUCUGAAAUAUUUAUUAGUCUGAGUCUGAUAUGGCAUUGGUCUGAAUUGGUAUCGUCAUACCAAGACUUGUAAGUCAUGAUUUUUGAGCCAUAAUACAUUGAGCUAAAAUUUUCAUUUAAAGCAUAAUUUAGACCACCAAAAACAUGCAACUAAUAUAGAAGAUUUUGCGUUUCGAAACUCAAGUCAAAUGCUAUGAGAAAUUUGAAAAAUUCACUAAAGAGGGAAUUCACCGAAAAUCAUGCUCUCAAGAAGAAUUCAUUCUUAAAUACAUGGUUUCAUACAUUCAUAUUCUCAAAUCACUUUGGGAAAGGUCAAAAGACCAAACAAUGAUGUUAAUAUACAUAGAUUCAAAAACUCCAUUCUAAAACAAGUUUUUUCUAUACCCAUGAGAAUUUAGGAAAACCCCGCAUACCUCUAUUUCAAAAAAUAAUAGGUGCUUCUUGAAGCCUGUGGAUUGGGGAUUCCGAAUCUCUAAUAAAUUUUGAAAAUCUAUGGUUAAAUCUUGAUUUAUUUGGAUUUUUAGUUUGAAACCCUUGGGAGUGUUCUUGAGAAUUUUUAGAUGAAUGUGGAUGUAUUUUGGAGAAUUGGGAACUGAAUUUCGUGUUUAUGGCUGAAUAAGGGUGGGAAAAGGACCAUUUUGCCCCAAAAGCGGAGUGUUUAAGUCACUUGAAACCAUAAGAUAUACGCCGCAUAUGAUAUCGCAUAUAUUUACAUAGGCGCCGGAUAUGAUAUCACCUAUAUUUACAUGGGCGCCGCAUAUGAUAUCGCCUAUAUUUACAUAGGCGCAGCAUAUGCUAUCGCAUAUGCUUUUCAGUGGCCAUGUCCGAUUGUUUAGGCGACGUAUACUACUUUGAAAGAUCAUAACUUCUUGCUCGGGUGUCGAAUUUUAGCAAAAUUGGUAUCGUUGGAAAGUGAACUCGAAAACCUAUCAUUUGACACAUAGUAGGUUCUCUAAUUCGACGUAUACAGAGAGUUAUGGUCGAUUGAAGCUGACACAAAUUACAACAUUCACUAAAAACUAAUCGAUCGAAAUAGUUUCAACUCGUCCUUGAGUUGAAGGACCUCUAUGGUCUAAAUUCAUGCUCAAAUGGAUUUACAUACUACAUAAACAUGCCAAAUUGGCAUAGGAUUUAAGGCUCUGGGAUUUUCAACGCAUCAGAGUCAUGGUUUUUAUUCUAGCCCGAAAUGCGGGGUGUUACAUUAUCUCCUCUUGGGAUCAUUCGUCCCUGAAUGAUGGAUAGAAUGUUGAAGUCUUAAGGGUAUGGGAUAACGCGGACAUGAUAUGUUCCCUAAGAAAGAAUACACUGAUCAGAAAUAUGACUAUAAGAUUGGAACUACUGAUGUUUUAAAUGCUUAUGUCGGACAUGCAUAUCAGAGGCAUGGAAUACAUAAAUGAAGCUACUCAUAGGCUGAAUUCACAUAGUGAAUCAUGCAUAUCUGAUGCAUGGAUCUGUGACCGAGUUGUUCUCAUGAAUGCAGGACUGAAUACACUGAUACGCUAAACUUUUCUAUUAAACAUCCAUUUCUAGUGCAUGCAUAUCUGACUGAACUAACGUAUGAACGUAUGGCUAAAUACGCAAUAAUAAUUGAUGUGAAGCUUGUAAUAAGAAUCUAUGCAUGCAACUGAAUGGGGUAUCUCCCCCUUGGUACCCUAUGUCCCUCUAUGAAUGCUCAAUUCACUAAGAUACUCGGAAAANNNNNNNNNNNNNNNNNNNNNNNNNNNNNNNNNNNNNNNNNNNNNNNNNNNNNNNNNNNNNNNNNNNNNNNNNNNNNNNNNNNNNNNNNNNNNNNNNNNNNNNNNNNNNNNNNNNNNNNNNNNNNNNNNNNNNNNNNNNNNNNNNNNNNNNNNNNNNNNNNNNNNNNNNNNNNNNNNNNNNNNNNNNNNNNNNNNNNNNNNNNNNNNNNNNNNNNNNNNNNNNNNNNNNNNNNNNNNNNNNNNNNNNNNNNNNNNNNNNNNNNNNNNNNNNNNNNNNNNNNNNNNNNNNNNNNNNNNNNNNNNNNNNNNNNNNNNNNNNNNNNNNNNNNNNNNNNNNNNNNNNNNNNNNNNNNNNNNNNNNNNNNNNNNNNNNNNNNNNNNNNNNNNNNNNNNNNNNNNNNNNNNNNNNNNNNNNNNNNNNNNNNNNNNNNNNNNNNNNNNNNNNNNNNNNNNNNNNNNNNNNNNNNNNNNNNNNNNNNNNNNNNNNNNNNNNNNNNNNNNNNNNNNNNNNNNNNNNNNNNNNNNNNNNNNNNNNNNNNNNNNNNNNNNNNNNNNNNNNNNNNNNNNNNNNNNNNNNNNCUUACCACUUCAAUGACUACUCUGAACUCUUACUAUGAAGUCGCUAGCGCAUAUAGCGUUCCUUUACAACAAUCUCAACAUGUCAUUCAAGCCUAUCUUUAUAACCACAUAUGAACUUCAAAGCAACCACUCAUAAAGGCAUACUUCAUAUAUUCUCUAAACCACUAUCAAUAUCACUCCUAAGAGCUACCCCAAGAACAUACACAUACAAAAUUCCACUAAUCAUCACAUAAAUAAAAACUUGGCCCCAAAUCUUACUUCAUACUUAUGGCCUUAUCUAAACAAGUGUACUAUGAUCUUCCAUCAAUAAGGAAUAAUUACUCACCACCACUAUCAUCGCAUAAGGAGGAGUCACAAAAAAGUUAGAACAUAAGAUUUGGAGGCAUGAAAUGAUACUAUAUGAAGCUUGACACUCAUCUGAGGCCUGAGGAAUAGCAAAACAACAGGGACUCACCAAAGCACUCUGAAUUUAGGGUAUUUAUGGCUAUAAGCUAAAUCUCACCAAUCAUUUGGCGUAAAACAUGAGUUAUGGAAACGAAGCACAUUAUAAAGUGUGAGUACUUGACUCUCUAUCAUAUGUAUGAACGUGAACUGAUCAUGGAACUAAAUCGUAAAGCAUGAGUAGGUAUUAGGAUCACUGAGAAAUACUGAGAUAGGAAUGGGUUGAGAUUCACCUUUACUUUUUGAUGUUCUAUAUCAUCAUCAUGACAUCACUACAAGAAUCUAAGAGUCUUACUUGGUUAUUCGUUUAGUCAUCUCCCCCUUAGCUUCAANNNNNNNNNNNNNNNNNNNNNNNNNNNNNNNNNNNNNNNNNNNNNNNNNNNNNNNNNNNNNNNNNNNNNNNNNNNNNNNNNNNNNNNNNNNNNNNNNNNNNNNNNNNNNNNNNNNNNNNNNNNNNNNNNNNNNNNNNNNNNNNNNNNNNNNNNNNNNNNNNNNNNNNNNNNNNNNNNNNNNNNNNNNNNNNNNNNNNNNNNNNNNNNNNNNNNNNNNNNNNNNNNNNNNNNNNNNNNNNNNNNNNNNNNNNNNNNNNNNNNNNNNNNNNNNNNNNNNNNNNNNNNNNNNNNNNNNNNNNNNNNNNNNNNNNNNNNNNNNNNNNNNNNNNUAUCACCAAUUCUGCAAUGAUCCACUCUAUUUCUAUCGUAGUCUACCAACAUAGCAACUUCAAACUUAUUUUCCUCUACCAUGAGAAUCAAUUUCAUAUCAAAAGGCUCAACGCUAUCAAUCAAAGGUCCUUAACUUAGCUAUUUAGAACACCAUAUACCAUCUAGCUAGUCUUUUUCCACCUAGCAACUCAACGGUACCAGUAGCCACACACAACAUGUAAUAGCCUUAGAAAAAUACUACAGCUUCANNNNNNNNNNNNNNNNNNNNNNNNNNNNNNNNNNNNNNNNNNNNNNNNNNNNNNNNNNNNNNNNNNNNNNNNNNNNNNNNNNNNNNNNNNNNNNNNNNNNNNNNNNNNNNNNNNNNNNNNNNNNNNNNNNNNNNNNNNNNNNNNNNNNNNNNNNNNNNNNNNNNNNNNNNNNNNNNNNNNNNNNNNNNNNNNNNNNNNNNNNNNNNNNNNNNNNNNNNNNNNNNNNNNNNNNNNNNNNNNNNNNNNNNNNNNNNNNNNNNNNNNNNNNNNNNNNNNNNNNNNNNNNNNNNNNNNNNNNNNNNNNNNNNNNNNNNNNNNNNNNNNNNNNNNNNNNNNNNNNNNNNNNNNNNNNNNNNNNNNNNNNNNNNNNNNNNNNNNNNNNNNNNNNNNNNNNNNNNNNNNNNNNNNNNNNNNNNNNNNNNNNNNNNNNNNNNNNNNNNNNNNNNNNNNNNNNNNNNNNNNNNNNNNNNNNNNNNNNNNNNNNNNNNNNNNNNNNNNNNNNNNNNNNNNNNNNNNNNNNNNNNNNNNNNNNNNNNNNNNNNNNNNNNNNNNNNNNNNNNNNNNNNNNNNNNNNNNNNNNNNNNNNNNNNNNNNNNNNNNNNNNNNNNNNNNNNNNNNNNNNNNNNNNNNNNNNNNNNNNNNNNNNNNNNNNNNNNNNNNNNNNNNNNNNNNNNNNNNNNNNNNNNNNNNNNNNNNNNNNNNNNNNNNNNNNNNNNNNNNNNNNNNNNNNNNNNNNNNNNNNNNNNNNNNNNNNNNNNNNNNNNNNNNNNNNNNNNNNNNNNNNNNNNNNNNNNNNNNNNNNNNNNNNNNNNNNNNNUUCAUAACCACAAUAAUCGAUCAUGACCUUACGAUUUUCCUUGUCAUAAUCCAUUAGCACGUACUAUUUCAACACAUCAAGCUUACAAAUCUAAUCCCACGAAACAUGUACCAUCAAUCUCUUGCCAAUAUUCACCACCACACUAUUUAAAUUUAAGCCUAUAGCCUAGCAUCAAUCAUUUACAACCAAUAGAGAGUCCACAUAAUAUAAAUAUACUAAUCCUUCAAAUUGGGAUAUUCUACCCAAAUACUUCAAAAAUAUACUACAUACUUUCUCACAAGUAGUAUUAGUUCACAACUACCAAUGAGAAUAAGGUUAAGGGGUAAGGUCACAUAAUAGAUAUGAUCAACCUUAAGUUUAUAUUAUAACCAUACAAUCUUAUCUACUUAUACGGCUUUCUCACAUCACACUUACUUACCCCAAUGGGCAUUUAGACUACCUUCAGAUACCCCAUAUGACAAUGAGUCUAUACUUACAACCUACUGGCUAAUCUAGCCCUUUUCAUUCAUCGCCUAUAAGGGGCUUCUCUAACCCCUUAAGUAUCCACUCUGGGCUCUUUCUCUAUUUUGAAAGGAAGAAAAAAAAUAACAUUCUGAGUCAACACUUCCUCCACGGACUACCAUACAAUUCAUAAAUGGUACCACUACAUUAGUCUACCACCGCGAAAGGGUAAAUCAUUCUCAAUCAAUGGUUAUUCAACUAUAAAUAUUUAAUCACAAAAGUCACCCUCACUCUGACCUCUAACAUUAUAACUUCAUAUCACAAACUUCUUGGUCUAAUUUCACUACCAAUAGGUCAUGACACCGACACUCUAACUUAUACUACUACUCGGGUGUAAAUACAGUUCCAACAAACACAAGAACAACAAGAUGAAUAGCAAGUUGCUAGUGAAUCGAAAUAGGCCUCAUACGGCUUCACUAGACUUUUAUUUUCAACAACACAAUGAUAUCAAGAUUAUAAGAGAUAGAAGCUUGAUACACAUAUUUAAUGACUCAAGAAUACACAUCUUACUCUUGUCUUAACUGAACGCCUCAUAAGAACGAGGACACAAUUUUACACUAGGGAACUCCUCUCUCGUUCUUUGUGGGACUUCUUAAAUUUCUGCUACAUAAUUGAAGAAUAUCUGGAAAUACCAGAGUGAGGAAGAAAUUAGGAUAACUUUUCUUUUCGUAUGUAUGACACCAUAGCACGAAUUAGAGUAUGAAAGAGGAACAUUCUGACUCUAUAGCACGAACCAGAACAUAAAGAAAGAGAGACAUUCCUAAAUGUCUUGUAGACUUCUGCUUAUAAAUGUGGUGCGCUACACACCCAUAAACAAGACUCUACCCGAUGCGAUUUUGAAGACACCCUGGGAACAUGAACCGUGCUUUGAUACCAAGUUUGUCAUGACCCGAACUGGGGCCCUGGCCGUGACGAGCAUUCCCAAACCCAAAGGCUCGGAAUGCUCUCUAUCUAUCUGGUAAUCAUGCACAUAAUUCAUAUGAUCAUAGUAAUACGGAAUAGACACAAUAAUACGAAAAAAUGGUCAAUAAUUUAAAACAGUUAAAGGCCUGAAAAGGUGCCCAACAAUAUUUAAUAAACAUCUGCAAUAUUCUGUGAAAUCUCUACUGAAAUACUAUCUGAAUAACUGGGACAAGGCCCCCAGCAGACCAAAAGUCAUACUGAAAUAAAUACCUAAAUGACUAGGUAUUCCAAAGCAAAGAAGGCUAACCAACUGAACUCUGAGACAACCUUGUCUGUAAACUCUACUGAGGAUAUGGACCCCUAGACUGCUCCUCAGUACCUGGGAGGAAGAGGGUCUCAGUACAAUUGUACUGGCACGCAAAGAAAUCGAAAAUAGAUUAAUUGAACAUAUAUAUAUAUAAUACGUGAGAGCAAAUGUUCAUCAAACAUUAUGCAUAAAACAGUUUCUGAAAAAUACAUGGGCACCUUCUGAAAACAUGUAACCUGUCUGUAAAACUCAAACUCUAAUCUAUGUAUUACUUCUGAGUUAGGUGGUAUCCCCUACAAGUCUGAUAUUCCACGGGCGAUAUGGAAUCCGCCAUUGACUCGGUGGGGAAGCCUCCAACCCGAGUAUGCCACAAGGGUUGGAAUUACUGAAUUUGAUAUGCCACACGACACUUAAGUCAGCAUAUAAUAAUAUACCCGGGUCGGCAAACCACAGUUUUAGGCAAUGAGUUGCUUGAACUCAAGCCCUCUUCAGGGAACCACCUAACAUCUCUGUAUGCCCAUUUUUAACCUUUUCUGUACAUGCAACAUUCUGAAUGUCUAUAAUCAUGAUACUCUAAAAUGUCUAUUAGUCUGAGUCUGAUUAGCAUUGGUCUGAAUUGGUAUCGUCAUACUAAGACUUGCAAGUCAUGAUUUCUGAGCCAUAAUACAUUAAGCUAAAUCUUUCAUUUAAAGCACAAUUUAGACCACCAAAAGCAUGCAACUGAUAUAGAAGAUUUUGUGUUUCGAAACUCAAGUCAAAAUCAUGCAAAAACUUCAUCAACAUAUGGUGGUCUAGUGCCUUUAGCAAAUCCAUGCACUCUUUCAUUACAUGCANNNNNNNNNNNNNNNNNNNNNNNNNNNNNNNNNNNNNNNNNNNNNNNNNNNNNNNNNNNNNNNNNNNNNNNNNNNNNNNNNNNNNNNNNNNNNNNNNNNNNNNNNNNNNNNNNNNNNNNNNNNNNNNNNNNNNNNNNNNNNNNNNNNNNNNNNNNNNNNNNNNNNNNNNNNNNNNNNNNNNNNNNNNNNNNNNNNNNNNNNNNNNNNNNNNNNNNNNNNNNNNNNNNNNNNNNNNNNNNNNNNNNNNNNNNNNNNNNGCGUACCUCUAUUUCGGAAAAUAAUGGGUGCUUCUUGAAGCCUGUGGAUUGGGGAUUUCGAAUCUCUAAUCAAUUUUGAAAACCCAUAGUUAAAUCUUGAUUUAUUUGGGUUUUUAGUUUGAAACUCUUGGGAGUGUUUUUGAGAAUUUUUAGAUGAAUGCGGAUGUAUUUUGAAGAAUUGGGGACUGAAUUUCGUGUUUAUGACUGAAUAAAGGUGGGAAAAGAACCAUUUUGCCCCAAAAGUGGAGUGUUUAAGUCACUUGAAACCAUAAGAUAUGCACUGCAUAUGAUAUCGCCUAUAUUUACAUAGGCUCCGCAUAUGAUAUCGCCUAUAUUUACAUGGGCGCCGCAUAUGAUAUCGCCUAUAUUUACAUAGGCACCGCAUAUGCUAUCGCAUAUGCUUUCCAAUGGCCAUGUGUUAGUUAGGUGACGCAUACUACUUUGAAAGGCCAUAACUUCUUGCUCGGGUGUCGAAUUUUAGCAAAAUUGGUAUCAUUGAAAAAUUAACUCGAAGACCUAUCAUUUGACACAUUAUAGGCUCUCUAAUUUGACAUAUACAGAGAGUUAUGGUCGAUGGAAGCUGACACAAAUUACAACGUCCACUAAAACUUAAUCGAUCGAAAUAGUUUCAACUCGUCCUUGAGUUGAAAGACCUUUACGGUCUAAAUUCAUGCUCAAAUGGAUUUACAUACUACAUAAACAUGCCAAAUUGGCAUAGGAUUUAAGGCUCUGGGAUUAUCAACGCAUCAGAGUCAUGGUUUUUUUUCUAGCCCAAAAUGUGGGGUGUUACAACCUCACUAUGUGGGAAUACACUGGGUUUGUUGUUGUUGUUGUCUUAUCAAACUCUUCUAAAAACAUUAGACAAUGCACAUAAAUUUUGAAAGCAGUCAUUUUUUUUUAAAUUGAUAUGAGUUGCAGAUUAUGUAAAACGUUUUUGAAUUUUGAAUUAUUUUGCUGUAAAAUAAUGGUUGUGGUUAAAAUAGAGUCAUUAAAGGAAAAGAUAUCUGUAAAAGGUUAAGAAAUCUAUCAAAUUAAAUGUUCCUUAAAUUAAGGAACCGUUUUUCCUAUAUUAAACUGAAACAGAUUGGAGUUAAAUUAGGAACAAAAUCUUUAAUUGUAUAUGUAUAUAACUAGCAACAGUUUAAUCAAAUAAGAAAUACAUAUUUCUAUUUUUUGUAAUUUUCAAAGGGUUGCUAUAAAACUUACAAUUAAGGUUCUAUAGUUGCUAUUUCUGAAUUUUUUUCUAAAUAAAAUAUAUAUUGAACCUGAACAGCAGCUAAAAUACGUCUAGUUGUCGUAUGCAUGUCUUAAUUUUAAAGGAGCAAUUUCAAGGUUUGCAAUUUAAUUCCACGUUCUAAAGUAAUAGAUGCUGUAAUAUAUCGAAAGAUAAAAUACCAAAAUCUACUACAACGGGAUCCUAAUCCGGAUAAAUAAGACAAGUUAUAUAUAUCAAAUAAUACGUGACUAUAAGCACUUAUCCAAAGCUAGCAUAAUAGUUCACAAUUUCAGUAUAUAAGCUCAAUCUAAAAGUAGGGUAAGCCUAGCCUAUCUGAACGCCAAAACAAAAAUAUCUUUUCGCGAAGCCUUCGGAUAGUGACUUGCUAGAGUCCGAGCUUAAAUAACAUCAAAGAAAUUAUUUUUCACAACGCCUCUUAACUUAUAUACAACUUUGUAAGGCUAACCAAGAACUCUAACCAUUUAAAAAAAAAUGAGAAGGCCCCCAAAUAUGGAAUAACACAGACCUACGUGCAUAUAUAUAUAAAAAUGCUACUGAAUGAAAUUUAACAACAUCUCAACCCUUUCGUCUCAACACAAAUGAUAUGUUUCAACCAAUUCCAUCUCAGCACAAAUAUGUUUCAACCAAUUAAGUGUCACCAUGUUCAAUUUAAUUAGUUUAAAGAAAAAGGUUGUCCUCAUCACAACUCUUCCAUCUCAGCACGGGUGACAUGUUUCAACCUAUUAAAUAUCACCAAGUCAAUUUUAAUUUAACUGAUUGUAAAAAGUUUGUACUCGUCAUAAUUCACCUCAACAUGAGUGACAUGUUUCAAACAAUUAAAUAUCACCACAUCAGCUUCAAAUUAAUUGGUCAAAAAAGUGUCCUUGUCACAGAUAAUUCAUCUCAGCGUAGAUGACAUGUUACAACAAAUCAAACAUCGACAUGUCAACUUCAAUAUGAUUGAACAAAAAGAAUUUAUUCUCAUCAUGACUCUUUUAUCCUAACACAAGUGACAGGAUUAACCAAUCAAAUAUCAUUAUGUAACCUUAAAUUUGAUUGGCUGAAAAUAGUUUGUCUUCGUCGCAAAACAUAUAUCCAUCCUAACAUAAGUGACACGUUAUAACCAAAAAAAUGUCACUGGGUAAACAUUCUAAAUAGUCCAAAAAAAUUAUCCUCAUCAUAACUCUUUCAUCCCAACACAAAAGACAUGUUUUGACUAAUCGACUAUUAUCAUGUCAAAUUCAAUCUGAACGAAAGAAGUUUGUCAUCAUCAUAACUAUUAUAUAUACACUACAACUACGAAUAAGGUUCAUCAUAUACAGAAAGAACACCAAAAGUCUAACCAAAAGACGACAGUCCCUAUCAAAGAGACAUUCAUACAAGUUGCUUAAAAACAUCAGCGUUUUUCCAAGCAAAAGAUCUACCCUGUCUUUCAUGUGGCUCAGGUGUGGAGCUACGGCUUGCGAAUGAUGGUCAGAUGAACACCCUUCGUCAAAAAAAAUUUGGGUAUAUAGGUUAAAUAUAUAUAUAUAUAUAUAUAUAUAUAUAUAUGGUUAUAUACAUAUUGUUGAAUACCUUUGAUAAGCUAGAGAUGCAUAGCCUAGUGGUCAAGGGUGUUCAAAUUCACGUUGGGGAUGCAAGUUUGAUCCCCAGUAGGUGCAGUUGCUUUUUUCUCCUUUUUAAAGAAGGAGCAGAUCCUUAUAAAGUAUUUGGAUUGGACCUGAUUAUACCUCAAAAUUCAACCCAAUAUCUGGGCAUGAAGCCCAAUUGCCCAAUAAUAUGAAAGCCCGUUUGGCAUUGGCUAUUAGCUAACCAAGGGCCAAGGCUGACUUUUCUUAAAAUCAAAUUAAAGCAAACUUUUUUUUUAAUUCAAAAAAGAAUAGGUCAAACUUAAUUAAAUUCUAAAGUUAAAUUACACCCAACCCUUUCCCAAUUUUCCUUCAGUUCACUAAACACUUCUCCAUUCCUUCACAUGUCCACCACAAAUCCACAAUCUUCUCCACCUUAUUGUUAAUUUUUUUUUUUUGAAAUUUAGUGUUACAGUCUUCAAGCUUCAAUGGGGUAUCAUUAUAAUUUUUCUUCAUCGACUAUUGGAGUGUGAAUUGUAAAAAGGUAUUCUUCAAUUCUUCUUAUCUUUUAGUUUAAUUUUGUUUCCCUUAAACUUGCUUUUGUAUUUUUUUUUUUGAUUUUGAACUAAGUAAUUUAAUAUUCUAGUUUUAUCUAGUAGAUAACUUGCUAGUUAAUAUUAUUGGGGAGGAUGGAACAAUGUUUCAAGUAUUCAUAAUUUUUUUAUUUGUUGAAAUUGAAUAAUAAGUGUGAUGCGCUUGAUUUUUAUUUUAGUUUGAGGUUUCAAUGAGCUUGGAAAAGUAUUUUUAUAAAGUUUCAAAAAUAAGUUCAACAUCUCAAAAUCAAUCCCGACGAGAUAAAGAUGUUGAUCAAAUAAUAGUACCAUCUCAGUUUUCUCAGAGACAAAAAUUUAAUGUAAAUGAUUUAAAGGCUGACCCUGCUGAAAGACCUCCGAUUUUGAGUUAUCCUCCGAAUACUCGUGAUGAGAUAAGAAGGGCAUACAUUCUAAAAAGUCCUUUCCAACCUCGAGAUCAUGAGUUUCCUCAAACAGACUUUUCUGAAACUCCACGUCAUUUUAUUUCUAAAUGAUUUGAUGAAUAUUCUGAUUGAUUGGAAUAUAGUAUAAGUGCAGGUGCAGCUUAUUGUUUGCCUUGUUAUUUAUUUCAAGGCGAAAGCAUUCAUCAAGGUGGUGGUAAUACAUUUUGAUGAAGGGAUUUAAAAAUUGGCACAGAAAAGAUAGUUUGCAACACACAUUGGUCCUCCGAAUAAGAUUCAUAAUCAAUCAAAAAGGAAGUGUGAAGAUAUUAUGAGGGAAGAACAAUCUAUUGAGGCUGCAUUUUACAAGUUGGACGAGAAAAGUAAGAAUGAAUAUCGAGUUCGGUUAAAUACUUCAAUCGAUGUGGUCCGAUUUCUUCUAAAUCAAGGUUUAGCACUCCGCGGUCAUGAUGAAAGUGAAUCAUUCUUGAACAAAGGUAAUUUUCUUGGAGCGCUUUCUUGGCUUGCGGAUAGAUGUGAUGACAUUAAACCUUAUGUAUUAGAAAAAACUUCAAAAAUAAUAAAAUAAUUUCUCAUGAUAUUCAAAAAGUAUUGUGACCGCGUGUAAGAUUGAAACAAGCAAAGCUAUAAUAAAGGAUUUAGAUGGUGACUACUUUGCUUUGUUUGUUGAUGAAUCAAGAGACGUAUCACGCAAAGAUAAAAUGACUAUUUGUUUACGAUAUGUUGAUAAAAGGGGAUUUGUGAUGGAAGCAUUUAUUGGACUUGUUCAUGUUAAAGAUACUAGUGUUUUAUCUCUAAAGAAAGCAAUUGUGGAUGUACUUGCUCACCAUUCUUUAACUUUAGCUUAUGUACGAGGGCAAUGUUAUGAUGGAGCAAGCAAUAUGCAAGGUGAUUUAGGUGGUCUUAAAACAUUAAUUAGACAAGAAAGUAGAUCGGCUCACUCGGUUCAUUGUUUUGCUCAUCAACUUCAAUUGACUCUUGUUGCGGUUUCUAAAAGGUGUGUUCAAGUAGGAGAACUUGUAUUAUUGACUUCAAAUAUUUUGAAUGUGUUUGGGGAUUCCUUUAAACAUGUGGAUGAAUUUCAAGAAUCUCAAAAAGAAAAACUCUAAGAGGCAUUAGAUAUGGGUGAGCUAGAAAUGGGUAGAGAUUUGAAUCAAGAACUUGGUCUUAUUAAAGCCGGUGACACUCGUUGGGGAUCUCACUACAAGUCAUUUGGAAACUUUAUUAGUAACUUUGCCUCCAUUGUUGAUGUACUUGAUUCUCUUGUUGAAAAUGCAAGUACUUCAGAAUAAAAAGCUAGCGCAUCGGGAUUUCUCAGAAGUUGUCAAACUUUUGAGACUGUUUUCUUGUUGCAUUUGAUGACUAAUGUUUAAGGAAUCACAAAUAAUCUUAAUGUGUCAUUAAAUAAAAAGAAACAGGAUAUUGCUAAUACCAUGAUUCUUGUAAAAGUAUCAAAGAGUAGAUUGCAAACAUUACGAGAUAAAGAAUGGAAUCCUAUUUUAUAAAAGAAUGUUGGUUGGGAUUCGCUCACAGAAAAGGUCGAGGCAUUUUGUAUCAAGCAUAGUAUUCCAUUACUCAAUUAUGAUGUGUCAUAUGCUAACUCAGGGAGAUCACGACGUAAAGUAGUUGAUUAUACUACUUUGCACCAUUAUCGCGUGGAUGUGUUUUAUAAAAUUAUUGAUUGGCAGCUACAAGAACUUAAUGACCGUUUUAAUGAGGUGACAAGUGAUUUGUUUAAUGGUGUAGCUUGCUUAAAUCCAAUUGAUACAUUUUCUAGUUUUGACAUCCUAAAGAUUUUGGUGAUGGCUAAAUUAUAUCCUGAUGACUUUGAUGAAUUCAACAUGAGGGUUCUUGAGAAUCAACUUGUUAAUUAUACUAUUGAUGUUCGUGAUAUUGACAAGAGAUUCUCCAAUUUAGGCAAACUUGGGGCAGGGGCGAAGCUACGUCUUGCGAAGGGUGGUCAGAUAAAUACCCUUCGUCGAAAAAAAAAUUCGAGUAUAUAGAUUAAAUAUAGAUGUAUAUGGUUAUAUACAUAUUGUUGAACACCCUUGGUAAGCUAGAGAUGCAUAGCCUAGUGGUCAAGGGUUUGCAAAUUCGCACUGGGGAUGGAAGUUCGAUCCUCAGUAUGUGCAGUUGCUUUUUUCUCCUUUUUAAAGAAGGAGCAGAUCCUUAUAAAGUAUUUGAAUUGGACCGGAUUAUACCUCACAAUUCAACCCAAUAUCUGUUCUGGGCAUGAAGCCCAAUUGCCAAUAAUGUGAAAGACCGUUUGGCAUUGGCUAUUGGCUAACUGCAGCCAAGGGCCAAGGCUGACUUUUCUUAAAAACAAAUUAAAGCAAACUUUUUUUUUAAUUUAAAAAAGAAUAGAUCAAACUUAAUUAAAUUUUAAAGUUAAAUUAAACCCAUCUCUUUCCCAAUUUUCCUUCAGUUCACUAAACACUUAUCCAUUCCUUUACCUGUCCACCACAAAUCCACAAUCUUCUCCACCUUAUUGUUAAUUUUAUUUUUUUUUUGAAAUUUAAUGUUAAAGUCUUCAAGCUUUAAUGGGGUAUCAUUAUAAUAUUUCUUCAUCGACUAUUGGAGUGUGAAUUGUAAAACGGUAUUCUUCAAUUCUUCUUAUCUUUUAGUUUAAUUUUGUUUCCCUUAAACUUGCUUUUGUAUAUUUUUUUUUAUUUUGAACUAAGUAAUUUAAUAUUCUAGUUUUAUCUAGUAGAUAACUUGCUAGUUAAUAUUAUUUGGGAGGAUGGGACAAUGUUUCAAGUAUUUAUAAUUUUUUUAUUUGUUGAAAUUGAAUAAUAAGUGUGAUGCGCUUGAUUUUUAUUUUAGUUUGAGGUUUCAAUGAGCUUGGAGAAGUAUUUUUGUAAAGUUUCAAAAAUAAGUUCAACGUCUCAAAAUCAAUCCCGACUAGAUGAAGAUGUUGAACAAAUAAUAAUAUCAUCUCAGUCUUCUCAGAACAAAAAUUUGAUGUAAAUGAUUUAAAGGCCGACCCCGUUGAAAGACCUCCGAUUUUGAGUUAUCCUCCGAAUAUUCGUGAUGAGAUAAGAAGGGCAUACAUUCUGAAACAUCCUUGCCAACCUCGAGAUCAUGAGUUUCCUCAAACAGAAUUUUCUGGAACUCCACAUCGUUUUGUUUCUAAAUGGUUUGAUGAAUAUUCUGAUUGGUUGGAAUAUAGUGUAAGUGCAGAUGCAGCUUAUUGUUUGCCUUGUUAUUUAUUUCAAGGCGAACGCAUUCAUCAAGGUGGUGGCAAUACAUUUUUUAUGAAGGGAUUUAAAAAUUGGCACAGAAAAGAUAGUUUGCAACACAUAUUGGUCCUCCGAAUAACAUUCAUAAUUAAUCAAAAAGGAAGUGUGAAGAUCUUAUGAGGGAAGAACAAUCUAUUGAGGCUGCAUUUUACAAGUUGGAUGAGAAAAGUAAGAAUGAAUAUCGAGUUUGGUUAAAUACUUCAAUUGAUGUGGUCCAAUUUCUUCUAAAUCAAGGUUUUGCACUUCGUGGUCAUGAUGAAAGUGAAUCAUCCUUGAACAAAGGUAAUUUUCUUGGAGCGCUUUCUUGGCUUGCGGAUAGAUGUGAUGACAUUAAACCUUAUGUAUUAGAAAAAACUCCAAAAAAUAAUAAAAUGAUUUCUUAUGAUAUUCAAAAAGAUAUUAUGACCGCGUGUAAGAUUAAAACAAUCAAAGCUAUAAUAAAGGAUUUAGAUGGUGACUAAUUUGCUCUGUUGGUUGAUGAAUCAAGAGACGUAUCACGCAAAGAGCAAAUGGGUAUUUAUUUAUGAUAUGUUGAUAAAAGGAAAUUUGUGAUGGAAGCAUUUAUUGGACUUGUACAUGUUAAAGAUACUAGUGCUUUAUCUCUAAAGAAAGCAAUUGUGGAUGUACUUGCUCACCAUUCUUUAACUUUAGCUUAUGUACGAGGAUAAUAUUAUGAUGGAGCAAGCAAUAUGAAAGGUGAGUUAGGUGGUCUUAAAACAUUAAUUAGACAAGAAAGCAGAUCGGCUCACUCGGUUCAUUGUUUUGCUCGUCAACUUCAAUUGACUCUUGUUGCGGUUUCUAAAAGGUGUGUUCAAGUAGGAGAACUUGUAUUAUUGACUUCAAAUAUUUUGAAUGUGUUGGGGGCUUCCUUUAAAUGUUUGGAUGAAUUUCAAGAAUCUCAAAAAUAAAAACUCCAAGAGGCAUUAGAUAUGGGUGAGCUAGAAACGGGUAGCGGUUUGAAUCAAGAACUUGGUCUUAUUAAAGCCGGUUACACUCAUUGGGGAUGUCACUACAAGUCGUUUGGAAACUUUAUUUGUAACUUUGCCUCCAUUGUUGAUGUACUUGAUUCUCUUGUUGAAAAUGCAAGUACUUCAGAAUAAAAAGCUAGCGCAUCGGGAUUUCUCAGAAGUUGUCAAACUUUUGAGACUGUUUUUUUGUUGCAUUUGAUGACUGAUGUUUUAGGAAUCACAAAUGAUCUUAAUGUGUCAUUACAGAAAAAGAAACAGGAUAUUGCUAAUGCCAUGAUUCUUGUAAAAGUAGCAAAGAGAAGAUUACAAGCAUUACGAGAUAAAGAAUGGGAUCCUAUUUCAAAAAAGAAUGCUGGUUGGGAUUCGCUCAAAGAAAAGAUCGAGGCAUUUUGUAUCAAGCAUAGUAUUCCACUACCCAAUUAUGAUGAGUCAUAUGCUAACUCAGGGAGAUCACGACGUAAAGUAGUUGAUUAUACUACUUUGCACCAUUAUCGUGUGGAUGUGUUUUAUAAAAUUAUUGAUUGGCAGCUACAAGAACUUAAUGACCAUUUUAAUGAGGUGACAAGUGAUUUGCUUAAUGGUGUAGCUUGUUUGAAUCCAAUUGAUACAUUUUUUAGUUUUGACAUUCAAAAGAUAUUGGUGAUGGCUAAAUUAUAUCCUGAUGACUUUGAUGAGUUCAACAUGAGGGUUCUUGAGAAUCAAGUUGUUAAUUAUAUUAUUGAUUUUUGUGAUAUUGAUAAAAGAUUCUCCAAUUUUGGCGGACUUGGAAAACUUUCAAGAAAGUUGGUUGAGACAAAGAAGCAUUUAACCUUAUCCUCUUGCAUUUCUUUUUGUGAAGUUUGUUUGCUUCUACCCGUUGCCACUGCAUCAGUUGAAAGAGCUUUCUCGGCAAUGAAGUAUAUCAAGAAUGAUUUACGAAAUUGAAUGGAUGAUGAAUUCUUAGAUGGUUGCAUAGUGCCUCAUGUAGAAAAAAGAAUAUUUAAGAAUAUUUCUAAUGGGUAUAUUAUAGAAACAUUUCAAGGGAUGAAGCGUCGCUGAAUGCACUUGUACUUAUAUUUUCUAAUCAAGCUUUUAUUAAUAGAAUUUGUUUUGUUGACUUUUUCUAUAUUAUAUGUUUCAACUUGUUAUCCUAUAUAAUUUUUUUAUGAUUAGUUUGGUUCAAAGAUUCUUCUUCUUCAAUAUAUUGUUUACAAUAUUUUUUUAUGAUCCGUUUUUUUUUCUAAAAAUAUGAACACCCUUAACCAAAAUCCUGGCUCCGCCACUGAUGUGGCUUGUCUAAAACAUAUAAAAGACUGGACAAAAUUAUACCAAAGCUAGUUGACGUGGUGUCACAGCUUGAAGUUUCAACUUGGUACAACAGAAGGAUCUACUAAAGCAGGAAAGAUUGAGGGUCAACAAACUCUCAACAAAGAUAAUCAACAACAAAGGCAAAUCAAAUUCGAAGACAUUCAAGAUCAUAUUUAGUGCAGGCAAGUUAAAUACUAAGGCAUUCAAGAUCAAAUUCACUUAUUUGUGGAUACUUAAUGUUCGUGAUGAAUCAAAUUCAACAGAUAUUUACUAUCGAGAAAUUUAUGUAUGAAAAACAGAAGAAUGAAGAGGAUUCGCAGAAAAAGUAAACUCACUGUAUAAUAUUUACUACUAUGACUUGCAAUAUUUUUUCUGUCUUGAUAACCAUUUCUUAAAGUAAUUUUUUUUUUUUGUCUAUGAUAGUUUCUUUUCUUUCCAUUUUUGCCAAGUACGACACUAAAAUAUUUUCAACUUUUGUUGCGUAUUUUCUUUAAUUAACUUACCUAACUUUAAUAGAACACGUUCUCAAUCGAAAUUAGUAAACUCAUGGAAAAGAAAAAAGUUUCUUUAAGUUAUAGUACACGUGACAAAAUAUUUUAACAAAAAGACUGCAUGUAUAUGCAAUGUUUUAAUACUGUAUAAAUAGUGUUUAACCUUAUACAUAUAUAUGAUGUAUAACCAUGUAUAUAUGAUGUAUACUAUGUUUGAGCAAUGCAUAUAUAUCUAUAUAUGUUGUUAAUACAACAUACAUUUCAACAGUUCAAUGUAAAAUUAAUAUGGAUAAGCUGAAAUCCCAACAACACAAACACCCAAAUUGAGAUAUCCCCAAUUUCAGCUUAAAUCUUGUCUAAAAUUAAGUUCUUCUUUAAACCAUCUUAUGCCUGGCAAAACAAGCAAUGGAAACUCAUUAAAGAUCCCUCAAAUAUUCAUUACAAUUAGGGAGAAAAAACGACAACUUGCAAUAUGAAGUACUAACAAUAUUCUAAAUUUAAUUGCAAUAUGAAACGUUGAUAAUAGACUAUGUGCACCUAUCAAAAGCACAACAAUCUAUGGAGGAACACUUGGAGGAAAAUGGUGUUUUAAGUUGGAGAACAAAUAUGUUGAGAGUACUUUUAGAAUUUAGAGAGUUAACUAAAUUUUUUAUUUCCAUCAUACGUAUUAUGUUGUUAAUUAUUGUGAUUUAUAGUAAUUUUACAUAAUUUUUAAAUAAUAGAUGCUACUUUUCAAUAUUAACCUAAGUAACAACAACAGACCCAAAGUAUUCCCACAAAGUGGGGUCUGGGGGUAAGAUGUACGUAGUCCAUACCGCUACCUCUGAAGAGGUAUAGAGGCUGUUUCCGAUAGACCUUCGGCUCAAGAUACAGAAUAGUAGACAUGGAGAAUAUUAACCUAAGUAUUUUCACAUUUUGCAUUUUUUUUUUCACUAUAGUUACACACCUUUUGAUCGUCCUUUGAAGUUUCAAAAGUAAAUUAAACUAUUUUUUACUGUUUAAACUCUUUUAUAAAUUUAAGAGAAUUGAUGCAGUAAAAGAUGAUUUGAGCAAUCGAUUUGAAAUAAAAGAGGUAGGGCCAAAUAACAAGGAAUUAUAGUAAUAUGAACUUAGACUACAUAAAAUAAAGACAAUUUAUCUGAAAUGAAAAUUAUUGCAUUUUGGGCUAAAAUAAUAUGUAUAAAUAACAUAAAUAUCAACCCUUUUGAAAGUAAUUACAUUGUCUUUCACUUUUUUAUUACUUUACUCUCUCUCCCUAUUAAUAUACAUAACAUAACCGACAUAUACAUAGCAUUUUGUGUAUAUGUUGAAAUUUUUGUAAUAUGUUUAGGAAGUCGAGAUUUUUUGUAAUAUUAAAAACGUAAGUUGUGUAUUUAUGUUAUUAGUAGCCCAACUAUUUCUAGCCGACUCGAUGCUCAUACUUGAAUAAACAAACAUAAACUCUCACAAUUUCUAUCAAAUUGGAAAUCAAACUACCUACCUUAACCACUAACUGAAGUCUAAUAAAAGACACUACAAAUUGCUCUUCAUCAACAAAGGCACUAUAUAUAAAAUAAUUAAGAAUUCUAAUUCAUGCUUUGUUUUUUUAAAAAAAAAAACAGAAAUUAUUUUUCAUAGUAAUCACAGAUUUGUCAACAUGGGAUUUCCUCCUUCAGAAUUUUAUUCUUUUUGUUAGGGAUGGGACAAAGAAAUUCAUUUGACUUAGCAUAUGCAUGUAAGCUUCACAUGUUAUUCCCCAAUGCCAAGCAUCUCUGCAUCUCACACAGAAAAUUCUCCAGCUAUUGAAACAUGCCCUAAUCAAAUAUCCCUUUCCGUCAUCAACCAAUUUUCCUGUGCAAUCCGCAUAAGGGAAAUCCAUAAUAUAUGGUAAAGUUGAAACUUUAGCUUCUCGAUUAGCGUUUUCUACACGAUCAAGAACAUCAUAAGACAACAAUAAUUCAAGAUCCACGGUUCUCUUACAAUUUGCAAUAGGGCACUUAACUAUAUGAAUAUCAUCAUUGACCAAGUUUAUUUACCAAACUGAUUUUGCUUAUCCAGGCUGCAGUACACAAAAUAUUUUUUGAUGAAUAUACAUUGUUAAGCUAUUUGUGUAAUUAAUUGUUUUCAAUCAAAUGUACAAGGCUUUGUGACAAGAGGAAUCUGAAUCAUGAUAAAGAUGAAAAGCACUUUGUCUCUUCUUAAAGGUACUUUAGAUUAUUGAGGUAGUCCAUUGACGACGUGUCCCUUUCUUCCUCUUAGUUUUCAUGCUGUUUUCUUGGCCUGUUUUUCCGUACUGUUGAUGACUCUAAGGAAGCUUUGUAGCAGCCUUCCAUUUCGACCUUAUGCGCUCCUAGGAGGCGGCAUGACAUGUUGAAGAACACAAAAUACUAAGCGCAGUUUUGGUAUAUAUCUAUGUGCCGAGUGCCUUCUUUCAAUCUUGACAGUGUGUCUAGUUAAACCGUAUCAUACAAAAUGAAACUGAUCGGAGUACUUGCUUGAAUCAGCGAUGUUUGUCCUUCCUUUCAAUUGCAUUUCUUUUUCCACAUUUUCUUCAAGCAGCCCCAGCUAUACCAAUGUAUUAUUACGAACUUAUUUCAAAGUUAGGUCACUGAAGAAAAGAGAAACGUUCUGGGGCUGCAUGCUUCUUGGCAUUAGAGUGCUAUCAUUGAGUAUGAAAAUGGUUUCAAUCAUUACUAGAUAGAUAUCCCCGCUUUAGCAUAUUCCAUAUGAUGUUAUCCUCCUCCGUUGCCGGGAUAGCUGAGGUUUUGAUCAUGUCCUCACAGUUUAGAUCACACCUUUGCUCUUAAAAAGGAUAUAUUGAGGCUUAUGAUGUUGGGUUAUUGAUGUUAGACAGGAACUUUGUUUACAAAGGAGGGAUUGAUGAAACAACUAGAGAUGAGGUAAACUCUUGCUGCUGAACUGUUUUCUGUGAUUUUUGAUAGCUGGACAUAGUUUUGGGACUAGUAUGUGGUUUAAUUUCAGAGAUAUGCCUAGUUUAAUCUUUUGUAUAGUUUCGUUUGUUUUGUGCAUCGCGUAUCAAAGUAGUUUUGGGACAAUUGUUGUUUACCAUCAGUAUACACAUGUACUAUUUCUUGCUCAGAUUCUUGUGUCCAGUUUUGGUGAUUAUGGAGCCAGAAGACUCAACUACAUAUCUGACUAGAUUAGUGAAGUUUGAAGGAAAAAUACUCAUAAAUGUCUGUUUUUUGGUUUCAGAAGUAGAGAGGUCACCUGAACGAUGAUUCAUACAUUGUCAUUAGAUGAUUGAAAACAAAAGGAAAUAACAACAUACCCAGUGUAAUUCCACAAGUGGGGUCUGGGGAGGAUAGUAUGUACGCAGACCUUACAUCCACCCGUCUCCGAUAGACCCUUGGCUCAAAACCAAAACCUUUUAUAAAAUUGGAUGCUGAUUACUGUUGUUGCAAGUCUAAUUUGAUCCCAUCGUUUUUGGUCUCUAUGUACUAAGAAAUUCAUUUCAUAGAGUUAUAAAAUAUUUGAUGGCAAUUCAGCAAUCCGUCUUUUAUUAUUGCACCGACUUAUGACCCAUUGCAGUAAUGAGUGCUCAAGGAGACAAGAUUAUGAAUGUGAAAGUUAAGUGCAAGCAGUCAUCACCCUUUUAAUUGUGACUUUACAAGCAAUAUCUGAGCACUUGAUAACGCUAACAUUUUCUAGUACUAUUUUUCUAGUAGUAACAUAUUUAUUAUUGAUGCAUCCUAUGCAGAAAGAAUGGAACAAUUGCCGGUCUCAAACAUUUCAUUCGCGAGUUUGUUGCGCGUACAAAUACUGCAGAAUGUUUCGGAAUAUACUGCAAUUGUGGUUGUGGACAUUAAAGCUUCUUGCAAUUGCAAUUCCUCAGCAUACAUUACAGCUUAAAUUGGAAACAGGGAUCCUAGGAUCCAAAAAUUUCUGCCUUUCCUUUUAAUUACUCCCUCUGUUCAUCUUUAUUUGUUCAAUUUGAUAAUGAGUAAGUCAAAAAUGGACAAGUAAAAGACGAACGGAGCAGCAGUGACAUUUGCCAGUGUCUCUUCUCCAUCUUAUUACAGAGUUGAUUACAUUGAGAAUAUGAGGAGUUACACAAUUCCCGAUGCUGGUUUUUUGAUAAUCUGAAAGGGCCUAGCUCAUCAAACUUUUAGGUUUCAUCAUAAUAUCGUAUUAACAGAUAGAUACUUAUUAGUUAAAUUUAUCUGAAAGAAAAUGAGGACUCAUCAAACUGCAAUAUUUGUUGAUCAAAAGAAAGUUGGUAGGAAACAUACAAGAUUUUUACUCAUGUAUAAUGUAAAAUUUUCAAUUUAUAUUAUUCGAUCCCAAGUCAAAAAUAUUAUGUCAUGCUCUUUAACAUAGCAUGACUACGGUGUUCAUGGAAAAGGGAAGGCCAAAGGCAUAGACGGGCACUUAAAGUUGUCCCGAAAAAUAUAAUGUGAAUUUUCGGAACAACUUUCAGUGUCAACCAAAAGGGAAAUAGCAAUUGCUCUUUAAGUUGGUGAAAGAUGUUCUGUUUCAAGUUGUCCAACGAAUUUUGUCAAGUGACUGUUGAAGAAUUAUAUGAAUCCAACAGCUAUUCAUGGAGUAAAUACACAUUGAACACUUCAGAUUCAUCAUUAAAAUUACAAGAUUCCAUCCUCAAAAACCAAAACAUAUAUUUCAAAAAGAACUAAAGAAAGGCGAAAACUGAGUGACGAUCGAACUGGCUAACAAACGGAGUUGAGUUUCCAAGCAGAGGUGGCAAUUAGGGGUCUUGUAUGCCAACCCAACAUCAAACAACCAUUGUUCUCUUCCACCCUAUACCCACACCCACCUGCGAAAAGAGCUAGCAACAUACUGGCUUGUUUAAAUGCAUUAGAACCUAAAUGAACCGGCUCAAAACCCGCGGUGUUAAACCGCCUUCUCCACUGAGCCAAUGUCUCGUGCCUCUCAACCCGGUCUACACCCUCACACGACACCAAAUUACAGAUUUGACGCCCUAGAUACACCUCCGACAUCAACUUAUCUUGGUCGCUCACCGGCCCUAAUUCCCCACCAACCGAGCCCCCCUCCAGCGAGUCGAAGAGGGUCGAGUAAUAAUGCAAUGACUCGGUGAACCGGUCGAUGAAAACCGGUCCGUUGUGAUUCGCUUCUUGCUCAACAACAGUGAAUAUAUCAGGUUUCAAGUCCUUCACAACUGAUAAUCCCUUCUCUAUGCCUCCAGGCCUAGCUAGCAACUGAUGCAAUUCGAAUAUGGAAUUCACUGCAACAGUUUCCCCUUCACGGAUAUCGAAUAUGGAGGCAUUAAGAUCAGCCAUAGAGUUUGCAACAAAGCCUCUAAAUUCGAAUUCAACUUUGAUUGAUUCUGCCAAUUGACCCAAUCUCCAGCCAACUUCUUGCAAAUGUUCCGCGUUAUUGCUAUUGUUAUCAUGCGAUGGCGGACCGAUUCCAGUUAACCUGAAACUCGGUGGACCACUGGGCCUCAAUGCUAAGGCUUGUAACAGAGCAGGCCAUUGCAUACCUUGUUUCAUACUGAAAUCAAUUACAUGGACUUUGGUCUUGUUCGCAAAAGCUUCAAGAAUGGCUUGAUUUGCAGUGAAAUGAGCAAAUUUAAGGUAAGGGCAAGUCUCAUAAAAGUGCAUUUCGAGGAGAUCAGUGAAAGCAAAAUCAUUAGGGUUUGACGGAGGGUACAACCUGUAAAUUUUUCUCUCCAAAGCAUAAGCAAAAUACAUAGCAACUUUCCUCAUUGCCCCAGCUUGUGAAACAGCUAAGAACGCAAUUUGCUUCAACAAAGCAUCAGCUAAUUUCAUCUCCUCUUGUUGAAUAGCUUCCGCACAUGCCAUUAACGUGUGCACGAGCCGUACACCAUUGUCUUGCGAGUCAGUCAGCACCACCGGCCGAGUUAACUCAGCCGGCCGCAAACCACCACCACCACCACCCCAGAUACAAAUACUUGAAGACGAAGACGAAGACGACGACACCUCUGUCGUACUGGGUUUGAAUCUCUUGCUCUGUGGGUUCAAUAAAGGACCAUCAAUUUGGGGGAAAACGGCUUUACCUGGAAUAGCAGUUAGAUCCGAAUCGAAAGAGGAAUCGUCAUCAUAGACCUGAGGUGGUGGUGGCGUGAGUGAAGACGGAUGGUUAUUUGGGGUAAAAGGGUGUUGUGGGUUGAGUUCAGAAAUCAUAGAUUGAAUCCAAGUAGAGAGAUCUGAAGGAUUAUAAUGAACAGUAUCAGAAGCGAGAAAAGUAAGAUUGUCUUGUUGAACAUUACCCAUAACACGUUCAAGUUGUUCAAGUUUCUGUGCAACUUCAGCCAUAUCUGAUUCCUUCACUUUGUAACCCAAAACAGCAAGCAGCUCAUCAACUCCUCCUCCAUCUUGUUCUUCUUCCUUCAUCAUCUUCCCUUUACCGGAAAAUGUUCGCUGAUCACACGGCAUCGUUUUGUCUCUCUUCAUUUUAUUUUUUUGGCAAAGGAAAAUGGGUAAAUUAGAGGAUAAGGGAGACUCAGAAAUUGAUGCUACAGCUACAUGUAUAUGGUGUGGGGUUCCUUAUUCCUUUUUUGAGGAGAGAGAGAGAGUAAUUUGUAGUAGUAUUGGAGAGAGGUAUCUGCCUGUCUCUGUGUGUGUAAUAGAAAGUGUACGAAUGGAACUCGUGAAGGAGGAAAGGGCGCUAAUAUCAAUGUGCUAAUAUCACACACCAAAGGCAAAAACCAAAAAAUAGCUAUUCAUUUAGGGCUCGUUUGGCUAGGAAUAAAUGACAACUAAUCUCAAAAUUAAUUUUAUAAAUAACUUAUUUUCACGUUUGAUUCUAAUAAAAUAUAUAAAUAAUUAAUUUCACAGUUAAAAUGUUAUUUUUACCUCAUUUGUAGUGUUAGAGUUGUGACCUGAAUUUUAUUGAUUCGCUUCAAAAAGUUUUGUGGUGCGAUGUAUGUUUAUGAUUUUUAAUGGAGUCUGCGGUGAUAGCGUAUCGGCCCGAUCCCGGAGGGAGGUAUGGACCUUUAUGUUUCUGAGACUAGGACCUAUUUUAUGGGCUGUUUCGGGUCAUUCUCGUACACAUGAAAUUGAAACUAUCGUCUCCAACACUACACUCCCUCUCCAUUAUAGUGAAUUCCUCUGCCUCUGUCCGUGAUUUUUCCCGCAAGAAUUUUCACGUAAAUCUGUGUGUUCUUGUUUUUCCUUUUGCUUGUGGUUUACUUGUUUUUGUCCGGUCAUAACAUAUAGAAUAGGAAAAUUAAUUUCCAAAUACCUAGUUUUGACAUAAUUAAUUUCAGGAUAGCUUGUUUCCUAGAUAUCAUUUAUAGUGUUAGAGUUGUGACCCGAAUUUUAUUGAUCCGUUCCAAAAAGUUUUGUGGUGUGAUUUAUAUUUAUGAUUUUUAAUGGAGUCUGUAUGAACCUUUAUGUUUUUUAGUCUAAGACUUAUUUGUACGCACGUAUUAUAUAAAUGCGAUUUAAUGGGCUGUUUCGGGUCAUUCUCAUACACACGAAAUUGAGACUAUCGUCUCCAAGAUUGUACUCCCUCUCCAUUAUAGUGAAUUCCUCUGCCUCUAUCCGUAAUUUUUCCCGCAAGAAUUUUCACGCAAAUUUGUGUGUUCUUAUUUUUCCUUUUGCUUGUGGUUUGCUUAUUUUCUGUCCGGUCAUAACAUAUAGAAUAGGAAAAUUAAUUCCCAAAUACCUAGUUUCGAUAUAAUUAAUUUCAGGAUAACUUGUUUCUUAGAUAUCGUUUGAUUGGGAUACAAGUUAUCAUAAAUUAAUUUUCUCGAAAUUAAUUGUUUCAAAAUGUAUUUGGCAUUAAUAGAAUUGGAGAGCAAACUAUUUUUUAUAUGUCUUUCGUAUAUUUAAGUUGUUAAUUAUUGUAGUUUAUAAUACUUUUAAAAUUUAGAGUUAAUUAAUUUUUUUAUUUCAAUUAUAUAUGUGAAGUUGUUAAUUAUUGUAAUUUAAAGUACUUUUACAUAAUUUUCAGAUAAUAUACGUUACUUCAAUAUUGACCUUUUAGUAUUUUUGUAUUUUGCAUUUUGUUCAUUAUACUUACAUAUUUUGAUCAACUUGAAGUUCCAAAAGUAAAUUAAGUCAUUUUCUACUGUAAGUUCCCUUUUCAACAAAAAAAAAAAAAAAUCAUUUUUUAGUGUUAAAAUUCAUUUAUAAAUUCAAGAAAAUUGAUGCAGUAAAAAAUAAUUUGAGCAAGAGAUUCUAAAUAAAAUAUGUAGGCUAAAUCUAUAAUCUAUAAUAUAUUAAAAGUGUGAAGACCCUUAGAAAAAUGAUUGGAAUUUUUUGUCCUUCAUUAAAAGUCUACGCAAUAGACAAAAUCAUCUUUUCACUUUUUUUUUCUAAUUUAUAAUUUAAUUAUCUUUAUAAAAUUGAAUCCUAAAAUAUAUGGGAUCAGGACUUUAAUAUAUGGUAAGACAUUUUUCUAAAUUAGGAGUACUAAAAAUUAAUUUUUUUAUUCGGUAGCAUUGAUAAUUACCAUAAUUAGAAUUGUAAAUAAAGUUGGUUUUAUAUGAGAUUGGCCGUGUCAUAAUAAAUCACUAUUAAUUAAACCUGACAGGAUUAUACUCUAUUAAUUCCAUCCUAUUAGCCGGGAUCUAAAGUUGAAGACCAUGUAUCCUGUGUGAACUAGGAUAUCAAACACGAUUUAUUUUUGCUAUAUAAAGAAUUUGGGUGUUUCAUAUUUAGCUUAAUGAUUUGUUUUUCAAUUUUAUUUAUAUUUUCUAACGUGAUUUAUUUAUGCUUUAUAGUUUAUAGUGAUUUGCUUUAUUGUAGCUUACUCUUCUUCUAUGUCAUUCAUAUGGUACAAUAUUGGGUUUAAAUUUAUUAAUUUAAAUAUUCUAUUCUUAAGCAUUGCAUAGAUAAAGUUGUAUGGAUUUCUUAUUUCUUACUCUUGGUUAUGCUUUUAUUGAAUUGUUUCUUAAACUUUGACAUAGCAGUUAGUCUUUUUAGUUGGAAUAUAACAAAAUGUAACCAGAAGUUUGAUAUUAGGUUAUACUUUACUGUUUAGGUUCUUUUCUUGCUAUGGAAGUAAUACAUAUUUUUUUCGUUGUGUUUUGUGUGUCCUCUUUGAAGUUAUGAUGUUUGAACUUUGAUUAAUUGAGUUAUUAAUAAAGAGUCUACUGAAAAUAACUUCUCUAUUAGAAUCACUUCAUGGGAAUACAUGUGGAAGUCCUAAUUGCAUGUUUGUACCUAAUAGUUUGAAAUUUCGAAUCAAUUAAAAUUUCAUUUUGUACAAUUUCUUUCCUAUUUCAACUAAAUAGCAUAACUAAACUAUCUAUCUAUAUAUAUAUAUUAAUCGAAAGAUUGUUAUAUAUAUUAAACAUAUAUUCAUGUUUACAUGCAGAGGAAUUUGAAAGAGAAACUAGGGAGAGAUGAUAAGUGUAUUUCUAACAAUGGAAAGGAGGUAUGUGAAUUCCUUAAAUCAACUACAUUACUAUUAGUUACACUCUAAAUUUAUUUUUUUUAUUCUAAGAUGAGAAUAUCAUUAUCAGGACUUUGGUAGAUAUUCCCAAAGAUUGUUGAUCUUGAUCAACCAAAUGAUAUUUAGUGACAAGAAGCAAAAGGUUAAAUUCACCUUUGAGCUUAUUUUAGAUUGGGUUUUGUAAAUUAAAUCAACAAUGAUGGAGAAUUUAUAGUUUCUUAAAGGAUAUCGUAAUCCUUUAUAUGUGUACUUGGUGUCUAUUACUCUCAAUUUUAAUAUUAUUCGUCUUACUUUGUAGCCAAAUUAUGUGUAGACAAAAAUAAAAUUCAUAAAUUUUUUUGAUUUGCGAUAUUUUCCUUUUAUUCAAUCAUUAAAUUUCAUGUUAUAUUUUUUCACUUCUACUGUCUUUCUCUCCUUUUAGUUGUUUAAGUCAGUAACUUUUUUUUUACUUAUUAUAUUGAUAUUAUUAGUUAUUUAAAUUCGCACUUAUAUCAAUUUGUAAUAAUGUACUCUAACUAAAUAAUUUUUUUGUACCAAUUAUUCUUUCAUUUGACGAUUGGUUAAAUUUUGUUCGAGUUCCACGGACUAUUAUAUUGCAAUACAUAUAAGAUAUCAUUCUUUACAGGUAAUUAAGUAUUUUUUGUACUAAUUAUAUUUUUGUUUGAUGACGGGAGUUUUGAUUUCACCACUAUAUUGCAUCACGGGUAAGAUAUCAUUCUUCUAUGGGUAGUGUGUAAAAAUCAAACCAAUCGAUAAAUCGAGCUAAAAAAUGUUAUUGCUUUAUUGUUACUGGAUUUUUAGGUCAACAAUUUUUCAAUGAUUUUAUAAAAAAAUUAUCGGGUUAUCAUUCUAUUUUGUUGACAUAUUUUUUCCUAAUAUUAUUAGUGCCUUCGCAGAGCACAGUUGACAUUUUAUGAGUAUUGUCUUAUUGGUUAAAUUGAAAAUCGAAUUGUUACAAACCAAAAUAAAUAAAUCAAAAUCAAUAAAAGUAUAUCUUAUUGAUUUGGUUAUUGAUUAAUUAGUAUAUUUAAAAAUUAAAAGUCGAUAAAUUGAACCAAUAAUACAUAAAUUCAAACCAAAUUGACUGAUGCAUACCUCUAUCUACGGAUAAUUUGACUUUUUUUUGUCACAUAAAUUAUUUAUUAAUUAUUGUAAAGGACUACAAAAUCAAAUCUCUCCAAAAAAAAAAAUAGUACUCAAAAUUUGUUUAAAGAUAAUUAGUUAAAAAUAAUAGUCAAAUUUCUCUUCUCCUAUGUGUUUCACAUGAAAAAUUAUAUAUUGCAAUGUCUCACACGGAUAUAUUUAUGUUGCACUUUAAAGAAGAUUAUCAUAUAAAUAACAUUUUUUAUAUUAUUAAACAGUCAAAGUGACGGAAAGGAACUUAAAUUAACAACUUAUUUGUAAAAAAAGUCAUGUGAGAUACCACAAAUAUAAUAUUUGUUUAAAUUAUUAAAUUAGUAUAAUAUUUUUAACGUCAAUGGUUACUUUUAAUAAUUUUAUUCUUUUUAUAUAUAGUUUUGUUGAUUGAUGUGAGACAAACGUGCAAAGCACAUACACUUAACUAGUAAUAAGAAAUGCUAGUAACAUGAACUUGGACUACAUGAAAUAAUUUUUCUGAACUUGAGCUAAACUAUAUUGGACUAUACGGCCUCCAACAUUAGGAGCCCAACUAUUUCUAGUCCGACUCGACAACUCAUACUUGACUAAACUACAAACAUAAACUAUCACAGUUUCUAUCAAAAUGGAGAUUAAACUACCUAUCUUAACCACUAAUUAAAGUCUAAUAAAAAAACACUACAAAUUGCUCUUCACCAAUAAAAGACACUCACUGCAUUCCUGGUUUGUUUUUUUUUUUUAAAAAAAAAAAACUUAACCUUUUUUAUAGUAACACGGUUUUGUUAGUAUGAGAUUUUCUCUAUCGAAAUUUUAUUCUUCUUGUUGGGGAUGUUGAACAACAAAUCCUUCAAAUCGUCGGACAAUAAAAUUCAUUUGACUUGAUAUAUGAUCAUAAGCUUCACAUGUUAUUCCCCAAUGCCAAGUAUCUCUGCAUCUCGCACAGAAAAUCCUCCAGCAAUUGGGACAUGCCCUAAUCAAAUAUCCCUUACCAUCAUCAAUCAAUAUUCCCGAGCAAUAUUCAUAAGGGUAAUCCAUAAUAUAGGGUGAAGUCAAAACUUUAGCUUCUCGAUUAGCAUUUACAACACGAUCAAAAACAACAUAAGGCAACAAAAAUUCAAGAUCCAUGGCUCCCUUACAAUUUGCAAUAGGGCACUUAACUUCGUAAAUAUUAUCGUUGAUUUUUUUAGCAAUGUGCUUCUGUAUACAUUCUUCGUAGUAUAAAUGUGGGUAAUCGAUGCCCCGAAUCAUCGUGUUCGAAGGAAACACAUCUUCACAUAUGUCGCAGUACAUACAUGAGGAUUCCCCCUCUUCUCGAAUACUGUUUAAUUUUUCAAUCGAUCCAUAAAUAAAAGAAUAAUGCAGUUCAAUAAUUUUCUUACCCGCAACAUUGCUAGAACUUGAUUCCAAGCUCCUGACUGAGUGAAAUUGCGCAGUAUGAAAAAGAAUUUGCUGUAACUGUAUAUCGUCAUCGUCGUCCUUAACAUCGUCCUCAUUUUCAUUAAUAUCAAAACUCAGCUGACUAUCAGUUUCUUCAUCGUGAUUGAAGAUCUGAACAUCUCUUGAAUUCAUUUUGAUUUUGUGUCUUCUUUAAUGUCUGCAACAAAAAUUAAAUCUUUUUGAAGCCGAAUCAAUUUUGAUUGGGGUGCAAGAAUUUUGAGAUGAUGUAACACUUAAUUGAAUCGACAACAGAACCGUCUUGAGAACUCCGCCAUAAAUAUGUAAGGAUUGCUAUUUUUAUUUCCAAAUAUGCAUUUAAGUUGAAUUAAUACUGUUGUAGACAAUAGAUAAGUCAACAAUAAAUUUAGACUAUGUCACGUGUAGUAAGUGACUGACAUCUCCAGUCAAAUUAAAAAAUAACGAGCAUGUUUCUUGUGCCUUACUGUAGCAUGUUCCGACCAAUAAAGUAUCGCCACAUCAACUUCAAUCUAAACGGUCCAAAAAAUUAUCUUCGGUACAACUCUUCCACCUCAACAUAUCUGACAUGUACCCUCCAUUAAAGUAUCGCCAAGUCAAGCUCAACAUGAAUGGUCAAAAAAAUGCUUGUCAUCAUCACAAUCUGUCAUCUCAACAAGAGUGAUAUGUUUCAGUCAAUAAAAUAUAGCUUGGUCAAUUGAUUUAAGGAAAAAAUUCAUAAAAGCACAACUUUAGUUUUAAAAUUACUAAAAAUACCUUCAGUUUGAAAAACUAUAAAUAUUCCAACUUUUAUUAAUUUAGGUUAAAAAUUGAGAUACAUCCUAAAAUACUUUUUUUAGAAAAAAAUUUUAAUGUUACCAGCUCUUCCUACAUUAAUGACUACAUUAACGCGAAAUUUUGAUCACGAUUUUAUCCCAAAAUUUUCUCUUCUUCUUCUUCACAUUUUUUAAUUAAGAUAUUUUUUCCCCUAAAUUCAUCUUCACUUUCUUCUUAUUAUGCUCAAUGGUUUUUCUCAAAAAUCAAAUUAAACAACAUUAUAUUCCUUUAGCUCACCUGAUUGAUUGUUUGGAGUUUCGUGUUAAAAAUGAUGAUGUUUUUGAUACUCGAGUUAUGGGUAAAGUUACUAUUUCGACGAAGAAAAUUACCUCCGAUGAGGUUAUUUUUGGAUGAUUUUUUGUUAUCGGUACUUCAAGUAAACCUUCUAAUCCAAUAAUAUUUUGCUGAUCGAAAUAAAAAUCAAUUGAACCCCCCUACAAAAGAUGAUACAGUGACCAACAGAUUUAAAGUCAUUCAUCUUUCCGAGGAAGAAAAAAUUCAACUACAUUCACCUUGAAAAUAAACCAUCAAAUUACUGGGAAAAAAAUUAUGCAUCAUUAUCUCAAAAUAAAAUUUCAAUAUCUAUGGAGACCUUCAGAGCAAUUUCUUGUAUAUGUUAUUUUCAAUUUUGUUGUUAUAUGUAUCUCUUGUUUUUAAAGUUUUAGUGAAAUAGAUAUAUUUAAGAUACAUGUCAGUAAGUUUAAAGAUAUAUAUUGUGUAUGAGUUUAUUCUGUACGUAUCACACACUAUUUUUUAUGUUGAUUCAAAUAUUUAUACAAAAAAUACUUGAUUCAAAUAUUUAUACAAAAAAUACAUAUUCUGUAAAACAACAGAUACAUUUAAGCUUUUUGUAUUUUCUGAUUUUGUGUUAUUGUGAAUUUACGUAUCUGUUGUUAUUUCAGAUCUGGGUAAUUUCUAGCUUAGAUACAUAGUUACACAUACAUGACACUUUUUUCAAUAUCUUGUAUCUAGUGUUAUCUGUUUAACUCUUGUUUUUAAGUUUUAGUGAAAUCAGCAUACUAUAGAUAUAUGUUAGUAAUCUUAAAGAUACAUAUAGUGUAUGAGGGGUAUAUUAUAUGUAUCUAGCUUUAUUUUGUUUUUUUCAAAUCAAUUAUUUUUUAAAAAAAUUUAAUUUUUUAGCCCUCGCACGUUCUAUCGUUAAUCCAAACGUAAGAAUGACGUAACAAUACUUAAAUAUUCAUUUCAAUUACUUCAAACAAAAUCAAGAAAAAACAGUAAAAUUGUCGUAGGAAUCGUUUAUAAGUGGAAUCGAAAUAUGGAAGAAAUUUUAUUUUAAAAUAGGAAAUAAGAAACAAAUUACCUAUUCGUGGAAAUUUAUUCAAUUUUUACCAUUAUUAGUUAGGUUAUUUGCUAAAUUAAAAAAAAAAAUUAGCCAUUACAUCCCUUAAAUUAUGUUAAUUAGUUUAAUUAUUAAAUGUAUCUGUAGGGUGUAUCUUAUGUUAGUUAUAUGUAUCUUCAACGACAAUAUGUUAAAAAAUUAAUAUGUACUUUAUUGUACAAAAAAAACUGACGGGAGAUACAUAUAUAUACUAUCAUGCACAAUAUAUAUAUAUAUUUAACACUACUAAUAUGUAUCUUUGGAAUGUUGAUAUCACUAAAACUAAAAUAUCAAGAGAUACAUAUAUAUAAACAACUCGAACCAGAGAUACAAGAUGAAAAAAAAAUGUAUCUAAUUAGAUCAAAUAUGUAUCUCGGCCUACUACAAAUAACAAAAAUAAAAUUACGUAAAAUAACAAUCAAUUUUAUGUUAAAUGCACAAUUAAAUAAUCAAGAGACAAAUAACUACUUUUGAGACUCUAAACAAGAUACAAAAAAAAAAUUGUGGAUCAUUUCGCAUAGAAAUUGAAGGAAUGCUCAAUGGCAUACCAUGUCAUAACUGAAACAAGAGUACACUCGUCCACCCUGAAAACGAUUACAUCGCUCUUAUGGCCCUCACACUUUAUAUUGUUAAUCCAAACACCGGAAUGACAUAAUAACACUGAAAUAUUCAUUGCAAUUACCUCAAACAAAGUCAAGAAAACAAAAAAAAUAAUAAUUUAUGAGUCGUUCUUGAUGGAAAUUGAUAAUGGAAGAGAUUUUGUUUAAAAAUAUGGAAUAAGAAGCAAAUUACUUGUUUAUGUGAAAUUUUAUUGAGCCUUUACCAUUAUUAGUUAGGUUAAGUGCUAUAUUAAUGAAAAUUUAGCCGCAACAUUCCUUGAUUUAAGCAACUUAGUUUACUAACUACAUGUAUCGGUAGGAUGUAUCUAACAUUACCUAAAAUAUAUCUUCAACGGCUAAAAAAGUAGGAUUUUAUGAAAUUUAAUAAAAAAUUGAGACUUUACGAAAUUAAUGAUAAACUUGUCGGGAUAUAGGUAAAAUUUACUUGAUUUAAAUGGUCAAUAAAAGUUUGUCCUUGUUUUCAUCUCAACACGAGUGACAUGUUUCAACCAAUUAAAUAUCACUAUAUCAACUUUAAUUUAAUUGGUCAAUUAAAGUUUGUCCUCAUCAAUAUUUUUUGUAUCUAAUCAUAGACAUGUUCUAGCAAAUCAAAUGUCGUCAUGUCAACUUCAAUUUGAUUGAUUGAAAAGAGUUUGUCGUCGUCACAACUCUUUCAUUCAUGAAGACAUAUUUCAACCAAUCAAAUAUUGAUAUGUCAACUUCAACUUGAUUAAUUGAAAAAGAUAGUCCCCGUCAUAAUUCUUUCACCCAAUACAAGAAACAUGUUUCAAUCAUUCAAAUAUCUUCAUGUCAACUUCAAUUUGAUUGGCCUAAAAGAUUUUGUCGCCGAUCGUCACGACACUUAUAUUUUAUCCUAGCAUAAGUGACAUAUUUUAACCAAUCGAAUAGUAGCAAAUCAGCUAGAAUCUAAUUAGUAAAUAAAUUAUGCACGUCAUAUCUCUUCAUCGCAACACAAUAGACAUGAUCUGACUAAUAAAAGUAUAGCCAUGUUAACUGCAAUUUGAAUGAAAACAGUUGGUCAUUACCAUAACUAUUUUAUACCACAACUGCAAAUAAAGGUUCUCAUAAUGAAUAAAAAACAUCAAAAACAAUAGCAAAGACAGAUUUUGAGUUUGUGAAACAAAUGCUAUUAAUUCUUAACGAAGAUCAUGAAGGGUAAAUUUAAGAACAAGGCGUUUAAGAUCAUAUUUAGUUGAGGCAAAUCAAAUGCCAAGAGACUCAAGAUCAAAAUUAAUUGUCUGUGAGAUGCAUAUUGUUUGUGACGGUCAUUAAGGUGUUCAGAAUGAAUUAAAUUCAGAUAAUAAUCAAAUUCAAGGAACAUAAAUUUAUGAUUCAACUCAAAAGAUUCAUGAAUUUAUUUUAAAAAGAAAAAUAACUAAGAGAAUAUAGAGAAAUGGUUACAAUAACUGUACCAGAAAUUAAAUACAAUAAUUAAUGCACUUUUUUGUCUUGAUUAUCAUUUUUCAGAUGCAAAUUAUUUUAUCUACGAUAUUGUCAUUUUUAUUCCUUUUUCGCCAAGUAAUAUAAACCUCAUUGUUUCUCAUUUAUUUUCUACUACCUUCCUUCAUCUCUACCUUUUCGCUUUUCUAUUUUGAAAUGUCAAACAAUAAUUAUCCAAUUUAUAAAACUAAUGAAUAGUUUACCUAUUUUUAUCUAUUUUAACCAUGAUAUUAACUACAAUACAUCACCCAUUGAAUUUUAAAAAGUAAAAAUUAUUUAUUUUCAAAGGGUUAGACAGCAAAACCACUUCUCAAUUUAUUAUUUUUAAGGUAUAUACCAAGUCAAAAGUGCACGAAGAGAGUAUUUAAUUUAGUUAACUAUAACGUGAAACGUCUUCAACCAACAAUGAUUUAACUCAUAAAAAAUAUACAUCUUCGAUAACAGUACAUGUAGCCAAAAAAAAAAAACUAAUAAAAUGAACACAUUUAUAUGUAAUGUGUCUAUACUAUAUAAAUAGUUUAUUAACUGUGUAUAUAUGAUCUAUAACUAUAUAUGAAUCAAAAAUUUAUAUAAAUCUAUAUGAUUUUUAUACAACAUUUAUACAUAUUUCACCCGUUAAUGUAAAAUCUAUAUGGGUCAAUUGAAAUUCUUGACAAAAGCGAACUCCCAAAUUAAGCUAUCCUUAGUUUCAACUUAGAUUUUUCCAAAAAAUAAGCUCUUUUGUAGAAUCUAUUUAACGAAUUCCCAACAACUACACAAAAAACCUGUCAAGUUUUCAUUAUUAUUUUGCGUAACUCAUUAAUUUUUACCAAUGCACAUGACAUUUUUAAGAAAAUAAAUAUCUAAAAACAUAGUGAUAGAUCUUACAAAACUUAAAUUUUAAAACAAAAGAUUUUAAAUUUUUUACUAUAUUAAGCUCCGAGUCAAAUAAAAACCAUUCAAGCACGUUGAAUUCACAAGUCUUCUUUCCUUCCAUAUCCAAGGUAGAAUCGAAAAACAAAAUGGAAGACAAGUAGAACAGUAACUAAACUAUCACGUCUUACAACAACAAAAGAAAAGACACAUACUGAGGAAUAGAAAAUAAACACAAAAAAUGAGAACAAAAUAUGUCUUUAGCUGCAGAUUUCCAAGUAAAGAAAAUUCAUUACAGACCUCACGAAUAGUCAUUAUAACUAGAGAAAAGAAAGGACAAACUUUUAAUAAGCAAAUAAUCUCUAAAAGGAAUAAUAAUAUUAUUCUGAAUUUAAUUGCAAUACUUGAAGCGUUGUUAAUAGAAUGUAAGCAAUCAUCGAAAGCAUAACUAUGCAUGGAGGAAGACCUGGAGGAAAGUGGUGCUUUUAAGUUGGAGAACAAAUAUGCUGAGAGCUGUGAUCCAUUCCACAUCAAUAGCAGAACUCAUAGCCACACCUGCAAGAGAUUCAAAACUUUCGUAAGUACACAUACGACUCCCUUCAUGUUCUUUCAAUAUUACUCCCAUCACAAUAUAAAGUACUAAUAAAAUUAAUAUAGAAAAAUAAGAGAAGUGUUG